AAGUGUGAAUCUUAUGUUAAAACACAAGAAGAAGACGAAGAAGAUGAGGAUGAAUGUCACUUUUUCAGUGGUUUUACUUGGGAAGCGGUGGUGAUUGGAUAUGGGUGUGGAGUGGUGCCUGCAUUUAUUAUUGGGUACCUGAUGUUGCUGGCACAGAAACCAAAAUGGUUUGCUGGAAUCAUUGGCAGGGAAUUGGGCCUGAAGAUGAGGAGGAUGGAGAUUAGAAUGCGAUAACUAAAGGUUUGCUGUAAUCUGUAUCCCAUUCCCAGGUCUUGAAUAUUCUGUGAUAAUAUAGUAAUAUCUGGUCUCAUAUAAUUCUAUAUUUGCACCUGUAGACGUUUACAGAUUGGAGAGGCAUGAACAUUUUGGCAUGCAAGUUGAUGGGAAAAGCAGGAUUCAAAUGCAUUGGAAUCAACAACUGCGGUGUUGUAGGCAGCCAAGUUAAUAAACCACUACUUCAGCUGUUUUGCAUCUUCUGUGAUUUUAAAUUUUACAUUUUACAAUAUAAGUCAAAAGAUACAAGUUCAAUAUACAAGUUUUGUUUUGUUUAGUUCCAGCCUAUAAACACUUCAGUAGAUACCAGAGGAGAAAUGGAUACAAUCAAUGUCGGAAUUGGUCUUUAUAGUUGAAACAAAGACUACCAGAUCAUUACCAAUAUCAACUAGGCAUGUUGUUUAACGGGGAACUCAUAACUGGACAAUAAUUUUAAUAAUUUAGAAUUUGUGUAAUUUAUUACUGGUCUAAAGGACACGGGAUGGGUUUGCAAUAGUUAUUUGGAAACAGCUUGCUUAGAUAAAUGGACAGUGUUUUAUAAUAAUAGAGUCCGGGGCCUAUCAAGUGAUUGUUAGAGCAAUUUAUCUACUGUUUUUUAUAGCGGAAAAACAUAAACACUUGGUUUUUUAGUGCAUGCAGAGGGUCCAUCAGUCCAUCCGCAAUUUACACACUCAUUAUUCCAGGAUUCUCUGUUUCAUGGUAUUCUGCUGUGUAAAGAACAAUCACUUGUCAGGACCACCUCCCAUAAUCACAAGAGAUUCUAUAGGAAAAGAAGCAACAGACAUGGUUGGAUUGUUUGUUUUCUGUAUUCUUCUGCUAAAAGGCUACCCUUUUAAAGUCUCUUUUAUAUAUAAAGAUACAAAAAAAAAAAAAAAAAUCAUACUAAUAAAGAUUCUUUUUGGCUCCUCCAGAACUGGCCAGUUUUUCCUUAACUUUGCUUCUCCCACAUAAGACUAUAAGAAUAUUACAAUGAAAUAGUUGAUUAUCGUUGAACUUGCCAAUCUGUUGACUUGGUAAUUUGAAUUUGAUAAGCUCUGAAUUGUAAGUAACGAGGAACAAGAUGACAUGAUGGUAAAUAGAAAAUACAAGAUGUCCAUCAACAUAGCAAAGAAAUAUUUUUCAGCCGGACGACAUAUCAGGAUGUUCAUUACUAAAACAUGUUUGCUGAUGCUUUAUAAUGUACAAUUUACAAUAUAUCACAGGUUGUAAUAUACACUACUAGAUGAUUUUAUGGCCUGUUUAUCCUUAAUCGCUAUCAUGAACUAAUGAAAAUUUAUAAAAGUGGAUCACAUUUGCAGUGAUGCCGCUAUUUUUCCUGAAUUUCCCUAGUUGUGAAGAUUCCCUAGUUGUGAAGAUUGUCUAAAUCAUGUUAGAGUCGCUGCCAUCAGUGAAUGCAUUCAAUGGCUUACUGAAACUGGUAGAGAUACUAAAUUGCAAGAUGACAGAGUGUCCAUGCGUCAUUUUAAGGAUCAAGAUGUGUAGCUGUGACUUGUAUUUUAAAAUUGCAAGAUGUUUUACAAUGGUAGCAGAGGAGGGCUGGGGAUUUAUUGGGUCAGUUCGAAGCACACAAGUAGAAUUGGUUGUGGCAGAGCAAGAAGCUGAGCACGACCAUAAGAAUUUGAACUCUGAGGCUAAUUUGACUCUACUUGUACAAGUUAAUAUAUGAUGGCACAAGUUAAUAUAUGAUGGCAGCAAAGGAGUUUCUUACAUGCGCCAGUUUACAGUUCUUAGAAACAUCUUAUUAUGCUUAUUUGUACUAAACAGAUAUUAGUAGUCCACCAGAAACAAGGAGAUUUGAUAUAUCCCGGACUCUGAGGCCGGUGACAGUCUAUGAGAGGGCAUGUAAUCGAUGGAACAAGGAGGAUUCAGAUACAUUGGAUUCAUUAACAGAACUUCUUCAGAGCCGGAGUCACUUCCAGAUGCUCUCUUCUGGUAGAUAUCUAUUGGAGAAGUAAAAACAUCUCAUAAUCAUCAUUCAGCACUUGCUCUGAGUUUGUUGAUCAACCAUGCGAUGUUGAAGGCAGCUCUUAUCUUAUCUGCAAUCAAGUUAAUGAACCACCACCUCAGUUGUUAAGCAUCUUUCACCAUUUUACAUUUUACAACUCACAAUAAAAGAUUACAUGUGUAUUAAUCUGAUCAUCAUUUGUUUGAUCAAUAUAGAAGUUCGGCUCUGUUUACUUCUAUCCCUGGCUCUUCAUUUCUAGAACAUUGUUGAUACUUUUUAUUGAAUGGUUAAGAAUAUUCCAUAGAUUUUUAUAUUCAGUGCUAGAUGAUUUUAUGUCCUGUUUUCAUUCCAUUCAUGAACUAAUUAAAAAUUUGAAAGUGAUGCCCACCUUUCUGGACCUGCAUUCCAUGACCACAAACUCCAAUUCUGCCCAAAAAUUGCAGCUGUUUCGUAAUAUUUUUCUACGUGUUCUUUUGUUUGGACUUGUUUGCUGGACCAUGCAUAUUGUUUUGAUACAAACAUCUUUGUUGAUGUUAACACUCAUUGUUAGUAGCCCAUUCUUUACGGCAGACAUUGAAUUGGAUUUACUUGAAGAAAUGAAGGUUUAAGAAAGUUCAGAGCAAUUUGUUGAUUAUUUCCUUCCCUAGAAACUGCACUCCAGCAUCAAAGUACCUUUCAAAGACUCUACACAUAAUCUCUUGAUUAUCAAAGACUUGGUCUUGCAUAUACUGAUAUACACUGAAUAUAGGUUUCUUUCAUUUCCUUGAAAUUGCAUUUUUCGAAGUAACUCUCCAGACUCAUUCCCGUCACUUCUCAAAGUCUUAGUCCUCAUCAAUACAUUCACAUAAUAUCACACCAAUUUGCUCAUGCUCAGAUGGGCUUUUCUUACAAACCACAUAUGUUCACUUCUCAGAGUCUUAGUCCUCGUCAAUGUAUAGAGAUAAUAUCUCACCAUUUGCUAGUGCUACAAAUCAGUUUCUCCUACAACCACACAUAAUCGGAGAAAAGUCUGUCAAGUGUCAAGUGGACUUGAAAGACCCUUCUGCAUGGAUUAUUGUAUGUCAUGAAUGCCUUCUGAUAUCCCUGAAAGUGCAAGCAAGUUAUAAAAGUAGCUGGGCAGACUCUUUCUCAUCAAUACAUUCACAUUCAAAGCGGGCGUUGAUAUGCCUCCCUAAUUUUCUAAUGCCCUAGACGGAAUUCUAUUACAAUCCACAUAUGAUGGGUAGCGAUCAUCAAUUCAAAGAAGACACUAUCAGCAGCUUGCAGGAAAUGACCCCUCUGCAUGGAUUAUCGAAGAAAGAAACUUAUACCUAUAAAGCUGUAGAAAACCAAUGGUAAGCAUAACUGCAUAUAAGAUACAAAACUAAAUUUAAUACAAGACUCGUUCUGAGCAUUGGAAAAUAUGCUUUUAUUGCAGCCAAUGUAUUAGUGAAAAGAAUUAAAUUUAAAUUAAUUGUAGACUGCAAAUAUAAGAUUAGGAGAGUUUCUACAACCCACAAAUUAGUAGACAGACUAAUAUGAUUAGUUGAGACCAUCAAUCUGGAGAAACUGUUUCUACAAUGACCCAUCUGUAUGAAUUAUUGAAGAAAGAAACUUAUACCUACAAUGUAAAGGAAAUAAUCACGAGUAUAUUGCAUUUUUAAUCCAAAUUGUAUAUGAUUCUAUCUGUGCUACUGAUAGUAAAUAAUAAAUCUACAACGGGCCUUGCAGUUAAUCAAGGUAUUUAACUCUACCUUUCUACAUUGUUGAAUAGUUUGAAUAAAAUAAUUGUAAUAAAUUUUUUGCUGGAUGCUGUGUGAGUUUACCAGAGCUUAUCUUGGUGAGAAGUCUGAGUACAAGGCAAUGAGCAGGAAACAACAUAGGGAGUUUACAACUAGAAGUAUCUAUUCUCCCCUAGUCUUUUUGUGAACAUCAAGAGGCCAUUCAUUUUGCUCACAAACCAGUUAAAAAUGGCAGGACUACACAUAAUGAAUCACGCAGUCACUUUAUGUGAGAAAAGAAAAAUGUCAGGACAGCAGCUCAAACGUUUAAAAAACUUCAUUAAUUAUUUUCUUUUAUUGAAACCACACUCAUCCAUCAAAGUAGCUCUCAAAGACUAAUUUCCAUCACCUUUUGAUUCUCAAAGUCUUCUUCUUCGUCUUUUACUGCUCCUAAAGUUCUUCCAUUGCAAGCCACAUAUUAGUAGACAUACUACAUCAACUCUGUGGAAAGAAACAAUCUAUACUUGAUCUUGAUGUACAAUGUUAUGAUGUAAAUGUAUAAUAUCAAAAUUAGGAAUAGUAGUCACGCGCUAAUUAAUAACCCUCUGCAGGGGUUAUUAAAGAAAGCAACUUAUAGUUUAAGUUGCUGAACAUUUGUGUGUGCCAAAUUUAAUUUCACACAUCAUUACUAGAUUUACACAUGGUAUUAGACAUCAGUACUAGUAUAAGAUGUUAAUCAAGUUUUAUAAUUUCUUUUAUUUCAGAUAACAAGUUUUUUUUUUUGUGGAAUUAAUUAUUUAUAUCAUGCAUUUGAGCUUUAAAAUUAGCUCUACAUAAAAGUUGGUCUAUUGCAGUAGACACUAAAAUGAUUUCGCUCAAAGAAACAAUGAUGUAUAUGAAGAUUUUCAGAACUGAAUUUCUUUCUAUUUCUAAAAAUUGCAUUCAAGAACCGAAAGUAGCUCACAAAGACUCAUUACAUCAUCUUUCAAUUCUCAUUGUCUUGGUCUUUGUCUUCUACUGCUCAAAAUUCUAUUACAGCCCACAUAUCAGUAUCAUAUACCUAAUCAUAAAUAGUAUUUAAUAUUUAACACAAUUGAAGAUUUGUCUCAGAGACUUACUUCCAUCACCUUAUGGUUCUCAAAGUCUUCGUCUUCUAAUGCUCCAAAAGUUCUAUUAGUUCAGGCCACAUAUUAGUAAACAGACUACAAUUCAUCCAAAAUGACCCCUCUUAUUGGACACUUUGAACACCUCUAUCUGUAUAUGCAUUGGAGAAGAAUUAUCAGCUAGUUAAAAUAACCUCUUCGCAUCAACUCUAUCGAAAGAAGCAAUUCAUACCUAAAGUACAAUGUUUGGAUAAAAUCAGGAAUAGCAACUGCACGCUAAUUUUUUAGUUGAAGCAGGCUACCUUGGUGUAAUUCAGUGAACAUCCCCGUAAUUUCUUGACAGGCCACAAUUAAGGAAGUUCACAGAAUUAAAUUCCAGAAGUAGCUCCCUGAGACAGAUUUGCAUCAUCUUUCCAUCCUCAAAGUUCUUUACACUUAUAUUAUAUUUCAUGUUUUAUUGUAAUGAACAUAGCAGUUUCCUGUUCAGUAAUAUUCCAGGCUCAGGUUCUUCAUUCCUAGUCUCUGUUACAUGUUUGCCACUAAAACGUAUUGAACAGUUAUUAGUUUAUGAUUGUAUUCCAUCUUGAAAGGAGAUCUCAAAGACUCAUUCCCAUAAUCUUAAGAAUCUCAAGUCUUGAUGAACUUGGCCUUCAUCAUAUUUGUACUCUUGUAAUUCCAUAUUAAUGAAGUUUAAAUAUUUAUUUCAAAAAAAAAUGAAGUUUAAAUAUUAAAAUUUUUAAUUUUAGUAAAUUUGUAAAAAUAGUAAAAUUUGUCUUAUUUAUAAUAUUAAUAAAUCUCUUACUUUCUCGUUACUGUAUUCAACUUAAUAAUUCUUACAAACACUUGUAAGUGCAUCACAUAAGUUAUGUAAAUUCAGAAUAAAUUAUGUCCGAUUUCUUUAAGAGAGAUUGUUAUAUUGUUUUUACUUUAAAAAUUGAAUUAUCUUUUAUUUUUAAUAUAAUUUACAACUAAAAAAUAUUUAAUAUAUUUUCUUAUUUUUGUAAUAUGACUAAACAUAUCUUAAAUACACCUUUUUCCUAUAUAUAUAUAUAUAUACAUCUAUUAUAUUUUUUAUGAAAUAUAAUUACAAAUUUUGAUUAUUAAACCGAAAACGAAGUUAUACAAUUUUUUUAUUUCAAAGAUCAUCUAAUAUAUCAUGUAAUAUCUCAACAUGAUUCUAUAACAGAAUAAUAAUCAUUCAGAAUUAUUCUGUUGUAGAAUCAGUUUCGAAACUAUACUUUUUUUUAUCAAAUUUUAAGUGUUAAAUUACUUAAAAUAGAUAUAUUUUAUAGUAUUCUAUAUUAGAAUCACGUUUUAUAUGUAUUUUAUAGCAGAAUUUAUAAUAAAAUUGAUGAUUUAUAAUGCCGCACUAUGUAACUUCAUAUAAAGAGUCCCUUUCUGGAAUGUUGGCAUAUAUAUAUACUAGCUUAAAACCCGUGCAAUGCACGGGCGGUUAUGAUAUUUAUUAUUUUAUCGUAUAUAUUCCAGAUUUAACUAAUUUUAUUGAAAUUAAAAUUGUGAUAGAAUAAUGUGAUUAAAUAAAACAUUUAUUUAACGACUGAAAAAUUCUUAAUAGUUAAAUCCGUCAAAUAGCUAAUUUAAAAUUAAGUCAAAUAUAUAUUUUAAUAAAAAUGUUAAAAUAUAUUAUAUUUUUUAUAUGUUAUAAUUCAAGAAGACACAUAAACCUAGAUAUAAACAACCCAAUCAACCUUUUAAUAUUUUGUUAUUAAUAAUAUAGAACAAAUCCUUAAAAUAGAAUCAGAUAAGUAUAAAACAUAUUGUAAGCUAAAGGGAAGUGUACUGAUCCAUAACACUAACCUAAUUUAUUUAUUUUUAAACAGCACUAACCUAAUUUAUAAAUUAAGGAGGUCCAUGGAUCAAAUAUGAACCGGUUUAUAAAACUCGACCGACCAACUGAACUUUUCAGUUUAUGUUUUAAUAGUACAAUAAUAUAUAGUAUAGUAUAGAUUUGUAAUUUUAACUUUUAAAUUUAGAUCAGUAGAGCAUUUAAAGUAACGUUAAUAUAUUUUGAUCGACAAAUAUCGCCAUUUAUUUAAUAAUAUUGUUAUAUUUUUAUAUAUAUGUCGCCCGUGUUAAUUGUAGUAGAUCAAUUUUUUCAGUCAGUAAAUCUUAAAAAAAAAAUGUGUUUUAGUUAAAAAGGUAAUUACUAUUGCUCGAUGUUAUUUUAGAAAAUUGUGUUUUUUUAGUUAGAAAAUAUAAAAAAGAUAACAUAUUCUAGUUUAAAAGAAUAUUUAGUUAUAUAGAUAGGCCUGUAUUUCGGCCCAAAGUUAAAAAGAAUACUCCCUCCGUCCCCUCCAAUUCUUAUCGUUUGGAAUGGAGUGCUCGGCACGCAUUUUAAGACUCAUAUAAAGUAUAGUUCCAUAACUCAUUUUCAUAAUUCUCUUUUUCUGAAUAAAAAUUUAAACAUUACAUUUUUAUUUAAAAAAAGAAAAUUUUAAAAAUAAGUUAUGGAACUAUACUUUAUAUAAGCCUUAAAAUGCGUGCCGAGCACUCCAAUCCAAAUGAUAAGAAUUGGAAGAGACAGAGGGAGUAAUUAGUUAUGUCGAUAGACCCGUAUUCGGUCCAAUUACUUACAUACCAUAACUUUCAAUUUUCGAUUUUAAUAAUAUAGUAAACCUUAAAAAAGAUAAUGUAUUUUAGUUAAAAAGGUAAUAACUAUAUUGUUCGAUGUUAUUUUAUAAAAUUGAGUUUUUUAGUUAGAAAAUAUAAAAAAGAUAACAUAUUAUAGUUAAAAAGAAUAAUUAGUUAUAUAAAUAGGCCUUAUUUCGGCCUAAAGUUAAAAAUAAUAAUUGGUUAUAUAGAUAGGCCCGUAUUUCGGCCCAAAUUUUGACCGAUCAAACUUUCAAUGUUCGUAAUUACUGUUGCUCGAUGUUAUUUUAGAAAAUUGAGUUUUUUUAGUUAGAAACUUUAAAAAAGAUAACAUAUUCUGGUUUAAAAGAAUAAUUAGGUAUAUCGAUAGGCCUGUAUUUCGAUUUUCGGCCCAAAGUUAAUAAGAAUUAUUAGUUAUGUCGAUAGGCCCGUAUUCGGUCGAAUUACCGACAUACCAAACUUUCAAUUUUUUAUUUUAAUAGUAUAGUGAACCUUAAAAAAGAUAACGUAUUUUAGUUAAAAAGGUAAUAACUAUAUUGUUCGAUGUUAUUUUAGAAAAUUGAGUUUUUCUAGUUAAAAAAUAUAAAAAAGAUAACAUAUUAUAAUUAAAAAAAUAAUUAGUUAUAUAAAUAGGCCUUAUUUCAGCCCAAAGUUAAAAAUAAUAAUUAGUUAUAUAGAUAGUCCCGUAUUUCGGCCGAAAUAUCGACCGAUCAAACUUUCAAUGUUUCAGUUUUAAAAAUAUAGUAUAGCUUUCGGCCCAAAGUUAAAAGAAUAAUUAGUUCUACAGAUAAGCCCGUACUUCGGCCCAAGUACCGACCGACCGACCAAACUUUUAAUGUUUCGGCUUUAAUAGUACUAACUUAUAGCCCGUGCAAGGCAUGGGAGCUUUUUAGUAAUUUAUAAACUUUUUAAAUAUAUUUUAAAUUAUGUGAAAAUUUUUAAUUUACAAAUAAUAAAUUAAAAUUUUCAAUUAAAUAAAAUUUGAAAUUAUGAUUUGUUUGCAAUUCCGAACUUUUGUAAAAAUAUAUAAUUUUUAUAUGAUGUUGGUACAAUUUAAAAUUUUAUCUUAAAUUUUAGUUGAAUCUAAUACAAAAUAUUAGUUUCCAUGAUUUAUUAGUUAUGAAUAACUUAAGCUAACGUAUUCGUCUUUAAUAAUAAAAAUAUUUAAUAGCAUGAGGUAAUGCAUAUUUGCAUAUAAUUUUUCAUUUUUCUUUUUUAAUAUAUAUACUUGAAUAAAAAUAUUUAUUUUAAAAAUAUUUUUAUGUUAAAUUAUUAAUCUUUAUAUAUAAAAUAUAUUCCCUACGGGCUACGUCCCAUCAUAUUAUUUAGAGUUUUUUUUUUGGGAUGUACCAUCAAAUUCUUUACAUUUCAAAACUUACCAAAUAGGUCCCACCACUACACAACUUUUCCUACCUUUUCACACUACUUUUACUCCUUUUUCACAAUACCUUUACUCUACUAUCUUCUUUUUAUACAUUAAAAAUUAAUAGGUCCCACUACUUACCCAUUUUUCUUUUUAUUUUCCACUACUUUGUACAUAUAUCUUCACCUCCGUGCCCAAACCAAACAUAAAGAUUGGCUGGGACGGAAGGAGUAUUCAUUAAUAAUUUGAAUAACAUGCAUGCAAAUAGAAGGCAUAACAUGUCUGGAUUAGGAAAAUUUGUUAAAAAUAUGCGUUAUAUUUUUCACACUUGUUUCUAAUUUGGAUAAAAAUAUUUUUGUGAUCGUGCAAUUUGUAUGAUUCUACAAAUAAAAAUGGGAAUAUUUAUUUUAGAUUAAAAUAACAUAAACACGUGAAAGAAAUAAUUUGUUUUGGAUUCAGAAAAGAAGAUAUCAGUUGCCUAGCUGCCUUAUAAGUUCUAAUCUAACAGUGCUUAUUUGAUCAAUAUACGAUCUAACGGAUGAUAAGCUUUUGGACCAGAGGACCAUGCGACCAAAUUAUCUCCCUUACGCUUAUUAUAUAAUACUAGCUUAUAGCCCGUGCAAGGCACGGGAGCUUUUUAAUUAUUUAUAAAUUUUUUAAAUAUAUUUUAAAUGGUGUGAAAAAAUUAAUUUAUAAAUAAUAAAUUAAAAUUGUACAUAUCAUGCCAAAGUAUUAAAUUCUUUCUAUCAAAUUUUAAACCAACUCCUAUUAGAUUAUAUUUAUAAAAGUUCUAAUCUAACAGUGCUUAUUUGAUCAAUAUACGAUCUAACGGAUGAUAAGCUUUUGGACCAGAGGACCAUGCGACCAAAUUAUCUCCCUUACGCUUAUUAUAUAAUAUAGCUUAUAGCCCGUGCAAGGCACGGGUGCUUUUUAAUUAUUUAUAAACUUUUUAAAUAUAUUUUAAAUGGUGUGAAAAAAUUAAUUUAUAAAUAAUACAUUAAAAUUGUAUUCUCAAAAUGGUGUGAAAAAAUUUAAUUUAUAAAUGUUAAAUUAAAAUUGUAUGUAUCAAUGCCAAAGUAUUAAAUUCUUUCUAAAUUUUAAAUUAUUUUAAGUAGUGUGACGCCAACUCCUAUUAGAUUAUAUUUAUAAAUGUAUUUUAUAUUAGAAUUAUUAUAAUGUGAUUUAAAUAUUUUUCUAAAAAUUUUUAUGGUUCGAGAUUAAAAUUGAUAAACACAAUUUGUUUUGAAUUAAGAAGAUGAAUCAUAAACAUGCAAUAAGAUGGUAGAAUUUGCUUUGGAUUAAAAAAUUUUUUUUGUAUUUGUUCCUCACAUAAAUCGGGCUUAUUAAUUUUGAAAUAUAUUAGGUAAAAAUAAUUUUGUGACUGUGCGAUUUAUAUGAUUCUACAAAUAAAAUUGGUAGAAAAUAUUUAUUUUGGAUCAAAAAAAAUCAUAAACACGGGAAAUACUUAAUUUGUUUUGGAUUCAGAAAAGGAUUUAUAAACAUGCAAGUAGAUAUCAGUUGUGUUAUGGAACAAAAGUUAAUUUUGUUCUAAUCCAACGGUGCUUAUUUGUUCAAUAUACGAUCCGAUGGAUAAAAAUAAUCUUGUGACGGUGUGAUUUAUACGAUUCCACAAUUAAAAUUUGUAGGAAAUAUUUAUUUUGAAUUAAAAAAAAACAAAAACACAUGAAAGACAGAAUUUGUUUUGAAUUCAGAAAAAGAAUUAUAAACAUGCAAGUAGAUGUCAGUUUCCUUAUAGAACAGAAUUUAAUUUUGUUCUAAUCUAACGGUGCUUAUUUGUUCAAUAUACGAUCCAACGGCUUUUGGACCACAGGACCUUGCGACCAAAUUAUCUCCCUUACGCUUAUUAUAUAUAAGUAUAUAAUAAGUAUAUAAUAGUAUAGAUAUGCUAGUCUUAAAUAUAUUUUUUUCCUAUAUAUAUGCUAGCCUCUUGAGACGUGAUCAUCCCAAACAAAAAAAUUUAACGGAAAAAGAAAAUGAGGAAUUCCAUCCUCUGUUUUUCCACCAUCUGUUUGUUGCUCAUCUUCCUGCAGUUGCAGCACAACCUAGUGGCUUGUUCAUUAAGCCCCCACUUGCAGAAACUUGCCUUGUUCCAUUUUAACCAAACCUUAACAAUCAGUACUACUAGCUGGGAUUGCGAAUACGUUUCCUACGAAGAGAAUGCAGUGUAUGAAAUUCCUUCACGGGCAAAGACAAAGAAUUGGAGCAUGAGUUCUGAUCACUGCACAUGGGAUGGAGUUAGCUGCGACGACAAGACAGGGGACGUUAUCGGACUGGAUUUAAGUUGCAGUCAGCUGGAAGGAGCCAUUCUUCCUAACAGCGCUCUCUUCCAGCUCUCUCAUCUCCGCUUCCUCAAUCUUUCUCAAAACGACUUUUACCUCGCCAGUCAGUUCCCUCAGGAAUUUGGUUUCUUUGCAAAAGGUUUGACGCAUCUCAACCUCUCUAAUACUGGAUUAUCAGGGAGAGUUCCCUCGGGAAUCUCUCAUUUGUAUAAACUUGUCUCACUUGAUCUCAGUGACAACUCAGUCUCACUUGAUCUCAGUCAGAACUAUGAGGCUAAACUUGAAGAAGAAGUGUUUAAAUCAGUGUUGCAGAAUUUAACUCAUCUUGAAGUGCUUAAUCUUAAUGGAGUUAAGAUCUCCUCUGUUUUGCCCCUGAAUAUCUCUACUUCUUUAAGAGUUCUUCAAUUGAGGUAUACUUAUAUACACGGAGUAGUACCCCAAGAGGUUUUCCACCUUCCCAACUUGGAAUUACUUGAUUUAUCACUUAAUGACGACCUGAGAGCAACAUUACCCAAAGUUAAGUGGGGAAGUAAAGUUACUCUCCAACACCUUCAUCUUUCAUACAUCAACAUAGAUGGAGGUAUACCUGACUCAAUAGGCUUUUUGGAGUCAUUAGUCAGUUUGGAUUUGAGCAGCUGUAAUUUGUCUGGGCCUAUACCAAGAUCCAUUGGGCACCUCGUUCAACUUACUCGCUUGGACCUCUCUCAAAAUAUUCUCAAUGGCCCAGUUCCAACAUUUUUUACAGACCUUACAGACUUAAGAUAUAUCUCCCUUUGGCAAAACAAUUUCACUGGAUCCCUACCUCGUUCGUUGUUUCACCAUCCAUCCUUAGAGUCCUUGUCUCUGGAUAAUAAUGCAUUCACGGGUCAACUACAUGAAUUUGAUUCUUCUCGCUCACGGCUGCAAUCUUUUUCUUGUUCCAACAAUUCACUCUAUGGAUCCAUUCCACAUUCUUUUUCUCAGCUUGUGAAUCUCACUGUCCUAGAUUUGUCAUCAAACAAUUUCAGCGGGGUUUUGGAUUUGGAAAUGUUUUCAGGCCUCGAAUCUCUAAAACGUCUUCAUCUUUCUGAUAACAGUCUUUCAGUGAGAAGUACAAUUAUGGCCACUCUCCCUCCUAAUCUUUACUCCUUGGGCUUGUCAUCUUGCAACAUGAAAGAGUUCCCCCACUUUUCAAGAGAUGCAAACAUCUCCCUGAAUCUUAUAGACCUAUCAAACAAUAAAAUUGAAGGGGAAAUUCCACACUGGAUUGGGUCGGUGGGGGAUUUCUAUGGAAUCCCUUAUCUGAAUCUAUCUCACAACAAACUAAUAGGCGGUCUUGAGCAACUGCCUUGGGGUUAUAUUCAAUAUCUUGAUCUCCAAGACAACAAGCUGAAUGGCUCCUUGCCCACCUUGAUGUGUAAUUCCAGCUCUCUUGAGAUUCUAAAUCUCUCUCACAACAAUUUGAGUGGUGUACUCCCCAUUUGUCAUACAAAUUUGACUCAGCUUUCGGUGUUGGAUCUGCGGAGGAAUAAAAUUCAAGGAAUCAUUCCAGCAACCUUGUCAAAUUUCCGUUAUCUGGAAACUAUUAAUUUGAAUGGAAACCGCUUACAAGGAAGCAUUCCUUCUUCUUUUGCUGAAUUAGAUUCUUUAGCCGUCCUUGAUCUUGGAAAUAAUCAGAUAAAUGAUACAUUCCCCCUGUGUUUGGAAGCUCUUCCAAAACUCCAAGUUCUUGUUCUCAAAUCAAACAAGUUUCAUGGUAUAAUAAACCAGAGUUCUGAGACAAAACACCCAUUUCCUAGCUUAAGAAUCAUUGAUCUUUCGUACAAUGAGUUUUCAGGUGCACUGCCAGAAAAAUAUUUUAGAAACUUCAAGGCUAUGAUGAAUGCGGAAGUGAAUAAGAUAAAUCGUAGCUAUAUGGAGCAUCGGUAUUACAGUGAUUCCACAGCUCUGGUGAUUAAAGGCAUGGAUAUUGAUUUACAUAGAAUUUUGACUGUGUUCACAACUAUUGAUGUAUCAAAGAACAAUUUUGAUGGGGGGAUAGCUGAAUACUUUGGAAAUCUAGUAUCACUCAGAUUUCUUAAUCUUUCUCACAAUUAUCUCACAGGCCACAUACCAUGCUCGAUUGGAAAAUUGACUGUGCUGGAGUCACUAGACCUCUCAUCCAACCAACUUGAAGGAGAAAUACCUCAGCAGCUCACUAGUGUAUAUUCACUUGCAGUUCUAAAUCUGUCUUGCAACCAACUUAGAGGACGUAUUCCAGAAGGGUGGCAAUUCGAUACGUUUGAAAACAGCAGCUACGCUGGUAACUUUGGGCUGUGCGGACAUCCCUUGUCGAAAAAGUGUGAAUCUUAUGUUAGGACACAAGAAGAAGAUGACGAAGAUGAGGAUGAAUGUCACUUUUUCUGUGGUUUUACUUGGGAAGCGGUGGUGAUUGGAUAUGGGUGUGGAGUGGUGCCUGCAUUUAUCACUGGCUACCUGAUGUUGCUGGCACGGAAACCAAAAUGGUUUGCUGGAAUCAUUGGCAGGGAAUUGGGGCUCAAGAUCAGGAGGAUGGAGAUUAGAAUGCGAUACUAAAGGUUUGCUGUAAUCUGUAUCCCAUUCCCAGGUCUUGAAAAUUCUGUAAUAAUAUAUAGUAAUAUCUGCUCUCAUAUAAUUCUAUAUUUGCAGAUUCAGAUGGGACAAGCAGGAUCAGAUGCAUUGGAAUCAACCACUAGUACUUCAGCUGUUUUGUCAUUCUAAAUUUUACAUUUUACAAUAAAAGUCAAAAGAUACAAGUUAUGUAGUAUUGUUUUGUUCCAGCCUCAGGCUCUUCAUUUCUAAAACAUGUUUGCGGAUGCUUUACAAUGUACAAUUUACAAUAUAUCAAAGUUUUUAAUAUACACUACCAGAACUGGGUUACAUUGCAGUGUUGUCGCCAUUUUUCUGAAUUUCACUAGUUGGGAAGACUGUAUAAAUUAUGUUAGAGUCGCUGCUAUCAGUGAUCGCGUUCAACAACUUAUCUCAAACUGGUAAGAUUUACUAAAUUUUUAAUUUCACAAGCUGUUGAUAGAAUAGAAGAUGCCUCAGUUUAAGGAUCGAGAAUGUAUUAAUGAACUGUCCCAGCCCUGAGAAAUUCUCUUUGAUGGGGCUGCAGUUUCAAUAAAUCGCCUCUUGUACUCAGCCAUCAUACAGUGAACCACCGUCCGAUGGUCGAAAUUGGCGAAGCAUGAUGGCUUUAAAUCAGCCCAUAACCUGAUGGGGUGGCAUUUCUGUUCCCCAUUAGUACCAAUGCAGGGUGUCCCCUUCCAAAGCUACUCUGCAACAAUUUCCAACAUCUCGUAUUCACUUAACCCGUUCAGUAGACAACAAGGUUAGGAGCAAGAAUGAGUCGGUGUCUGGACAUGAGAUUAGGAAUACUAUUACCUCUGACUUCUGAGGCCCGUGACAGAUCGAAGAGGCAUGAAAGUUGGGGACAGGGGACGGCUGGUGCAUUGGAAUGAAAGUAAAAAACUUUUUCAGAGCCUGAUGCUCUCAAGGAUGCAGUCUAAUGAACAAGCGUAAUGAUGUCAUGUUAACUGUCAACCACCUAGUCAAAAUUACUUGAAAUGAUGAAAUUUAUGACAGUAAAUUUAUGAUGCUCUGAGUUUGUUGAUCAACCAAGCUAUGUUGUAGGCAGCUCUUAUCUGAUCUGCAAUCAAGUUAAUGAACCACUACCUCAGUUCAACAUUUUACAUUUUACAGCUCAGAAUAAAAGAUUACAUGUGUAUUAAUCUGAUCAUCAUUUGUUUGAUCAAUUUAGAAGUUCGGCUUUGUUUACUUCUAUCCCGGGCUCUUCAUUUCUAGAGCAUAUUUGUUGAUACUUUUUAUUGAACGGUUAAGAAUAUACCAUAGAUUUUUAUAUUCGGCGUAGAUGAUUUUAUGUCCUGAUUUCAUUCCAUUCAUGAACUAAUUAAAAAUUUGAAAGUGGGUCAUAUCUGGCAGUGAUGCCAGCCCUUCCUGACCUGCAUUUCAUGACCACAAACUCCAAUUCUGCCCAAAAAUUGCAGCUGUUUCGUAAUAUUUUUCUACGUGCUCUUUUGUUUGGACUUGUUUGCUGGACCAUGCAUAUGUUUUGAUACAUCUUUGUUGAUGUUAACACUCUUGUGUCAGUUACUGGACUCAUUGUUAGUAGCCCAUUCUUUACGGCAGACAUUGAAUUGGAUUUACUUGAAGAAAUGAAGGAUUAAGAAAGUUCAGAACAAUUUGUUGAUUAUUUCCUUCCCUAGAAACUGCACUCCAGCAUCAAAGUACCUUUCAAAGACUCCAGACAUCAUCUCUUGAUUAUCAAAGACUUGGUCUUGCAUAUACUGAUAUACCGUGAAUAUAGGUUUCUUUCAUUUCCUUGAAAUUGCAUUUUUUGAAGUAGCUUUCCAGACUCAUUCCCGUCACUUCUCAAAGUCUUAUUCCCCAUCAAUACAUACACAUAAUAUCACACCAAUUUGCUCAUGCUCAGAUGGGCUUUUCUUACAAACCACACAUGUUCACUUCUCAUAGUCUUAGUCCUCGUUAAUAUAUACAGAUAAUAUCCCACCAAUUUGCUGGUGCUACAAAUGGGCUUCUCCUACAAGUCUACAACUACACAUAAUCGGAGAAAAGUCUGUCAAAUGGAUCUUGAAAGACCCUUCUGCAUUGAUUAUCAAAGUAUAUUAUCUGUUAACAUAAAUGUAUUUUAUCAAAGUACUCUCUAAAUAAAAACUAGUAAUAGCAGUUACACAGUAAAAAUUUUUCCUCAAACAAUUACCACCUCAAAUGAGAUAGGCAACCUUAGAUUCUCCAAAAGUGCUUAUAUUGCAACCCUUGUGUAAUGACUAAUAACAGUCAUGAUUAGUAGACAGACCAUAAUUGCGAUGGUUCGAACUUUUUUACUUGAGCUGGAGAGAAGACUUUGAACUGCAGUGUUAGCUAGGAGUUUUUGCACCGUUCCUUUCCCUGUCUUGAAAUUGCAUUUCAGCUCCAAAAGUAGAUUUCAGAGACUGAUUCAUGCCAUCUUUUAAUUUUCAAUGGCAUAGUCGCGAUGACACUCUCACUUCUCACAUUGGAAAACUUUUACCAACACAAUGAAAUUUAUAAGAGUAAAAUGCAAAGCGGUGGUUAAAUUUAUAAGAGUUCUAUCGAAGUCUAGUUUACCUAAAUAACUGCAAAAUGGUUAGGGUUGUUCACGAACCGAGCCGAGCCGAGUUUUGACCGAACCGAGCCAAGCUUUAAUUUUUUUUCUGACGAGCCGAGCCGGGCCGAGCUUUUUUAUCGAACAAAAUUUGUGUUCAAGCUCGGCUCGUUAACUAACGAGCCGAACACGAGCUUGUUCGCGAACAAAUACAAGCCGAACCGAGUAGAAUCGAGUCGAGCCGAGCCAGAAAAAAAAUAAGAACAAACCGCUAGUUGACUCUUAAAAUAGCUAACCAAAUAAUUUUAUUUUUUUUUAAACUUUGUUUAUAUCACUAAAAUGUAUAUAUGUUAACAUCCAUACGGUUGGAUCGGUAAGAAAUAUUUUUUAAAAUAUUGAAACACUAAAUUAGGAUUAAACACUAGUUAGCAGUACUAUUUAACCUUCUACUUGACUGUUAAAAUAGCAAACCAUAUAAAAUUAUUAUUUUCCGAAAUUUUGGUUACAUCACUGAAAUAUAUAUAUAUUAAUUAUAUGUUGAAUUCUGAGUUCAAUAACAUAUAUAAAUUAUAAAAAAAACCCCGAAAAUAUUACAUUUUUUCGAGCUUUAACGAGCCGAGCUCGAGCCGAGCGAGCUCGAGUCGAGCUCGAGCCGAGCUCGAGCCGAACAUACUAAAAGCUCGGCUCGAGCUCGUUUACUUAACGAACAAUUUUUUGUGUUCGUCCUCGAGCUCGUUAACUUAACGAGCCGAGCCGAACGAGCUCUUAACGAGCCGAGCUCGAGCUUGUUCGCGAACAGCUCGGUUCGUUAAGCAGCCCUAAAAAUGGUGAAACAAACUAGGGCUUAGAAAAUGGUACAAUUUGCGGUUUUGUAUCUAUUGGGCAUCUAUUUUGGUGUGCUAGUCAACUUGUAUGGUUCUUAAAGUUUACAACUUGAAACAGUUAAUAUCAAAUGUCAAAGUGAAAAUAUGUGUAGUUUUAACUUCACAAUAUUUUCUUGGUGCGGGCUAUGUAAGUUAUCUUUUACAUGGUGAAUCAAGUUAUGAUACUCAGAAUCAAUUAUGUUUCACUUUCGUAUUUUCCACCUGGUCGUAAGAUUUGUAGUUUUCCUUCGCUAUUGUAAAGGUUGUGUUCUAUUAAGGGUGAUAUAUGCGCACCCUAAAUUAAUUUAUGCACACUUUACCUUCUGUUUCAUAUCAAAUUACCCUUGUCUUUUAUCAUUUCAACCAAAUAUUUUAUUAAUUCAAAGGGGUAAUUUAGUACAAACUAGAUGAAAGGUGUGCAUAAAUAAAUUUAGGGUGUGCAUAAAUCAGCACCCAAUGUAUUUAGUGAUUCCACUGAUGAUAAUGUUAAGCAAUUAACAGGUAUUAAAAUGCUUUCAUUAUAAUGCAACUUUAUACUCCCUUUAUCCCAUUUUAACUGAGGUAAAAAAAACAAUAUCUACACCCAUUAAAAAAAAUUCAAUUUUUAUAUCAAAUAAAAGUUUAGAUUCUAAAAUUUUAAUUGAUGAUAUAAAUUUUAUAAACAAUAAUUAUGUUUAUAUGUGAUUUUCUUAACAUUUCAAAAUACAUGUAAAAAGGUCAAAAGUAGUUAAAAUGGGACGGAGGGAGUAUAUUUUUAUUCAAACUCGAGUCUCCCGUGAGUGGAGCUCUUAAUAUCAUGCGAAGUUAAUAUUCUCCUAAAAUCUCAAAAUGUUAGAUAGAAUGACUUAUAAAAAAAUUGAAGAAAAGUGGAGUUUUAUUAUAAGUUUUAUCCGUGUUACAUACUUACAUUGAAUAUCUGGUAGUAACGCAAAAAAUUUGGUCUCCUCUAUGUAUUUUUGCUGGCUUGGUCGAAUCAGUUGGAUUGCUGGUAUUUGAAUAAUCUAAUUUUUUCAGAAAUAAGAAUUUAUUUCUUGAGAAAAGUACAUAAAACUACUAUACUUUUUUGGUCUCCUCUAUGUAUUGUUUUAUUUUAUAAGUCGUUUAAGGUAUUUUCACACAUAUUAAAAAACUUCAUUGUUGCAUAAAAAAGUAUUUAUUAGUCAUUUCUUUUUCAUUAUUAUCCUCAUUUAAUGUCUCUUUUCUCUCUUUUUCUAUUGACUCAUAAUAUUAAAUAAGGGUGAUAAAAGUCAUUAGAUAAUUUAAAUUAUUCUUGAAAAAAAAAAAAGAACGACCUAUAUUUAUGAAUAAUAAUAUUUUCUAAAAUGAACUAUAAAAAAACAGAUGGAGUACUGUAUAUCAAGUGGAGAAGCAAGACUAAAGUGCAGUACUCCUAAGCCCACAUUGUACGGCGGUAGUACAUUUGAUUUUAUUCGGGGAAAACCAUGUUUAUGGAUUAUCUCAUCUGAAAGACCCUAUCCAUCAUCUUCCGAUUCUCAGAGUCUUGGCCUUCCAUUCCAUGCACUGCUCUGCACGUGCUUCUGUUUGAGAUCAAAAUCACCUGCCUUAAAAAAUUUGUUUCUUUUGUAGUCUAAUCUCUGUCCCAAUCAAAUAUAUACCUUAACUGUGCACGUAUUUUGAGAUUUUAAUAAAAUUUUGUUGUAAAAUACUUUUUAAAAUUUUUUUUUUUGAAUAAAAAUUUAAACCUCAAAUUUUUAUUCAGUUAAGGAAAAUUUUAAAUAAUGUUUUGUAAUUAUACUUUAACGAAGCCUUAAAAAAUAUACCAAAAAACAGCGUAUACAAUUCAUCAGACGAGCAACCGCCAACAAGAAACACCACCGACAAUAAUAAACAAGAUUAGAAUGCAUAAUAUUCUGCAUUGGUCGAUAACUAUCAUUAUUAAUUUCUUCCUGCUGCACCACCGACAAUAAUAAACAAGAUUAGAAUGCAUAAUAUUCUGCAUUGAUCGAUAACUAUCAUUAUUAAUUUCUUCCUGCUGAGAAUUGAAACCACGCCCUCUGGCAAUUCCAAAAUGUUCCCUUUUAUAUUUAGCAAAAAAUAAUGAAUGGUGCUCCCAUUUUUUGACUAACCCAAAAACUCGAUGAUGGGCAAAAAUUGCACUAAUAUUAGAAUGAUGGUGUUUAGACAAGUUCUUCAUUUCAAAUUUUAAAUAUUGAAAUAAUUAGAAAUAUAAUAUAUAACUAUAUGACAAACACUCUAAUUCAGCAAGAAUCUUAUUUUUUGUAUCAAUUUUUCAAUAAUUUCAGGUGAAUGGUAAUUUAAUAUAUAAUCAAAUUUUAAAUAUUGUAUAGUUUUUGUUUUAUAUUUUAAUAAAUUUCAUAAUAGUGAGGAUAUGAGUACAUAUAUACAUCAACAGAAGGGUCGUUUGGGUAAACUUUAAAAAAGUGACUUCUUUCUUCAAAUAAAAAUGUGCACUAUAUUCCGUCAAAAAAAAUGUGCAGCAUUAGUAAGAGGUAAGUCUAGACUUAAAAGUGAUUAAAAUUUUUUAAGGAAAAGUAGAAGUUCUGAAAAUAAAAGUUAGAAAUUUUGGCUUCUUACAGGUGUUUCUGACUUUUUACAAAAUUAUAAGCCGACUUUCUUAGAAAAAGAAGGCGGAAGCUGGGGCAGCCAAACAAACACAUGAUAUGACUUGAUAUACAAAAAAAUUACAUUUAAAUUACGUUUAUAACACAAAUAAUCUCAAUUUAAAAAUGAUGAACAAAGAGAUAUGAGAUAUAUUGAAAAAUAAUUGAAAGCAACCCGUGUUUUGCACGGGUUAAAAAGCUAGUUCUAAUUAAAGGGAAAAAAGCCAUCGACUAAAAUUGAACACGGAUGGGAAUUAUAAGAAGCAUAAGCAAACAAACUUUUCUCUACAAUAAAAGGUGAUGGGUUGAAGUCAAGAAAACACCGAUUCAUCUUUGUACAAAGUUAAAAAUACUAACGGCUCUUUGCUUAUAGCACUACAAGAAAACUCAUUUUAAUGACAGAAAUUCUGUUAACAUGAUAAGGAUUUUCGUUGGUAAAUCACCGCCAAGGGAAUGAUAAUGAAAAUAAUUGGUUGGCAUAUAGUUGAUCGGGAAGUUCAUGCUAACGGAACAAAUUCGUUGCUAAAUUGGUUUCUUUUGAUAAAAGAUGAUGGGUUGAAGUCAAGAAAACAAACACAACACUUUUACAGAAAGUUAAAAAUACUAACCGCUCUGUGCUUAAAGAGUGGCAUAAGUAAGCAGUUCUCCGUGUGCUAGAAAUUCCUUCAUUUCUUGCUCUUCUAAGCCAACAACAGCUCUAAUACCAUCAUUCGCGGUAUCCAUCAGAGUGAUGACAUCAACCAUCGGAGUGUCCACAAGCACAGCUUUAACCGGCUUUCCCCACCCGAAAUCCAUGAUAUCAUAUAGCGGGAAAUUACACAUGCUUGUAAUAACGUAGAACCUGUACUUGUGUUUUGUGAACUCAAGAAACUCAGUCUCCAUUUCGUGUCCUUCCAUACUCUUGAUUCCUUUUAGCUGUUCCCUCUCUUUCCUCAUUCGUGCUACCAACGUUCUGUACUUUUUGUCCGCCUCUGUGGUCGCUACAAUGUGGUUUAGAAUCUGGAAAUUCCCCACAGUUGUUUCUUGCAGUGGCGGAUCAAUCAUAUGCCUCACAUUGACAGCCCGCAUUAAAACGGAUCCAUUAUGCACUCCAGCAUUAGUCCUAUCUGCCACGCUUACAAGACAUCUGUAAAGGAGUGCAGUCAGAAGCUCGUUGCGGGUGUAUUUUUGAUCUUCCACUACUCCAUCCAGCUUAUCCUCGUUAUUCACCACAAUCUUCAGUUCUGCUAGCUUUGUGUUGGGAAACACUAAUUCCUUCGUCGUCCAAUUCUUAUCUGGAAAUAUGAUGGUUUCGAUGGCAUUAAUAUCAUAGGAUAGAGGCAGCAGAGCAUUCACCAGAACGGGACAGAGAUGUAACAGUUUUCGGUGAUCACCAGAAUGGAGUGACAGAGUGGCCCAAUACCUUAAAAGUGUGCAGGUAGUCAGAGCAUCACCCAGAAGGUGAGAAAGGCAAAAAAUUGCUGACGAAAAAAUGUACAAACUAGUAAAAAAUGAAAAUCACUUCUGGUAGUAAAAAAAGUCUAAACUAGAACCUAGUUCAGCCCAAUAUUUUAGCAUUAGUUUUAACUGCAAAAAUCACUAAUUUGUACAUUAUUAAUGAUUAAUUUUUAAAUAGAAAUAUCACAAAUAAAUAAAUAAAUAAAUAUAAUUAAAAAAUUAAAAAAAUCAUCAAUUUUCACCAAAAAGUCGUAUUUUCCCAACUAGUUCUACCAUGGAACCAUAUAUAUUUGUCCAAAGUGAUUUACUGUUCAAUAUCAAGUCUAAAAAAAUACACAUAAAACACUACCUUAAAAGUGUGCAGGUAGUAAGAGCAUCCCCAAGAAGGUGAGAAAUGCUAACUGCUACAGCCAUCCCUCCACAAUCGAAACGGUUGAGUUGCACAUACAUUAUAUUACCCGAAUGCUUCUCAGAAAACUGAUUCCGAAUUGUGCAAGGUGGAAACAGAUGGCCUAAUCCGUCUUCUUCCUUGACUGCAGCUCUAUCCUGAACCUCCGACAUAUUGCAUCCGAUUUGAGCCUCGAUAAAUUGAACGCCUUCAUCGUUACAAUCGACGUACGAUCCAGAGCAUAUCCUUCCUGCAAAUGGAUAGUACUUGGACAGUGUCUCCGACAAAGACUUCUUCAGUAGAUCUGAUGCAUUAUCAGGGACCCGUUCACGAAUGGGAUCAGAGUUGUUUUUGGGAUAGAAAAAAAUCAGUGGAAUAUAAAAAUUUGGAACCAUGCGAUCAUGUAAAGGAAUAUUGUAUCGUUUGAGGUUCGAGGGAGUUGGAGAAGCUGGUUUAAUGCUGCAGGAAGAUCUUGAGAUUACAUGCAGCUGCCUUCUAAAUACUAAUGACAACCUCAUCAAUCCUUUAAACGUCAUUUUUAACUUGCCAAACCAAACUUUGAUGUGUAUAUCAGAUAUGAGCUGGUUUAAUUGGGGUAUUUAUACAGAUUUAUAAGAGAAGAUUACAGCCCAUGCCAAAAGACUUGGCGGUUGAAGCUGGUGAGAUGAUAUAACUCCUGAUUAACCGGAAAUCAGGGAUUAAUCGUAAGGAUUAAUCAGAGUGAAAAUCGGUUUUAUUUUGAAUAUUAAAAUAUUAUUUUUAAUAUUUAUUUAUUACUAUAUUAAUUAUUUAAUAAUAAAUAUAUUUAAUAUAUCAUAAAUUUUAUAAUUGUUCAUAUUUAAAGUAAAUAAGUAGUAUUCAAUUUUAAUAAUUUAUUAUAUAUAUAUACUUCGCUUGAGAAAAAUUUAUACGGAUUAAUCGAAUUUUAAAAAUCGAAUCAAUCGGCCAUCUUGCAGGAGAUUAAUUGGGAAUUCAUCGAUAAAAUCAAUAAUUUUUAAAACACUGCCGGCAACUGUAAGUAUAAAAAAUAGGAAUAAACAAAGAGCACUGGGAACCACAUGCAAGUGAUUGUUUACUGCUGGUUCUACCGGUCUCUGCCAAAAACUCUGAUAAAUACCAGACAAAACUACCAGUCUCCCUUGCAUAAAAUAUCUAAGCUACAUAGGAAUCUUUUUAUGUCUAUGCUACAAGACAUUUUUUAUGACUUGGAUCCCAUUUCAUUUGUGGCAUUGCAGCAGUUCAUUCUUUAUUUCCUGAAUUUUCUCUAUAAUCUUUACCUCAUGCCUCUUAAUUUUUAUUCAAGAUAAUUUUUUUUGCAAAUUACUGUGGUUCUGCUUUUCUUAUCUUUUCUUCUUUUGGCUUUGCUGGUACUUUUCCUUUGCCAGUUUAAUUUUACCUUCAACUUUGAGAAAUAAAUGUAUUUAGUGAUUUCACUGAUGAUAAUGUUAAGCAAUAGGGUUCAAAAUGCUUUCAUUAUAAUGCUACUUUAUUUAUUUAUAUUCAAACUCGAGUCUCCAGCAAGGGGAGCUCUUAAUACCAUGUGAAGUUAAUAUUCUCCUAAAAUCUCAAUAUGUUAGAAAGAGUAAUUUUUUAUUAAAAAAAUUGAAGAAAAGUAGAGUUUUAUUAUAAAUUUUAUACGUGUUACAUUGAAUAUUUAAAAGUAAAGCAAAAAAUUUGGUCUCCGCUAUGUAUAUUUGCUGGCUUCGUCGAAUCAGUUGGAUCGCUGGUAUUGGUGAGAGCGUGAGACAUUAAAGGGAGAUGGGCUGAUCAGAUCAGCUUGGUUGAUAAUGUCUAAAUCCAAUUCCUUAACAAGGAAUUGAUUUUACUCAUGAAAAAAGAGUGAUUAAAAAAAAAGUUUGCAGAAAGUCAAGACUCAAACCCCAUUCUUAUCAAGUCUUCCACUACUCUAUGCACAAUUCAAAAUACACAAAGACCAACCAAAAAGUUCUUGGAAGUAAUCAAAUAAAUGAUACUCUCCAAGUUCUUGUUCUCAAAUCAAACAAGUUUUAUGGUCUUAUAAACACGAGUUCCAAGAUUGUACACCCAUUUCCUAGCUUGACUGCUUGAGAAUCAUUGAUCUUUCGUACAAUGAGUUUUCAGGUGCACUGCCAGAAGAAUAUUUCAGAAACUUUAAGGCUAUGAUGAAUGCGGAAGUGAAUAAGAUAUAUCGUAGCUAUAUGGAGCAAGAUUAUUACACUGAUUCCACAGCUCUAGUGAUUAAAGGCAUGGAAAUUAAUUUAAAAAGAAUAUUGACUGUGUUCACAACUAUUGAUGUAUCAAAAAACAAUUUUGAUGGGGAGAUAGCUGAAUACUUUGGAAAUCUGGUAUCACUCAGAUUUCUUAAUCUUUCUCACAAUUAUCUCACAGGCCAUAUACCACGCUCGAUUGGAAAAUUGACUGUGCUGGAGUCACUAGGCCUCUCAUCCAACCAACUUGAAGGAGAAAUUCCUCAGCAGCUCACUAGUGUAUAUUCACUUGCAGUUCUCAAUCUGUCUUGCAACCAACUUAGAGGACGUAUUCCAGAAGGGUGGCAAUUCGAUACGUUUGAAAACAGCAGCUACGCUGGUAACUUUGGGCUGUGCGGACAUCCCUUGUCGAACAAGUGUGAAUCUUAUGUUAGGACACAAAAAGAAGACGAAGAAGAUGAGGAUGAAUGUCACUUUUUCUGUGGUUUUACUUGGGAAGCAGUGGUGAUUGGAUAUGGGUGUGGAGUGGUGCCUGCAUUUAUCACUGGGUUACUGAUGUUGCUGGCACGGAAGCCAAAAUGGUUCGAUGGAAUCAUUGGCAGGGAAUUGGGGCUCAAGAUCAGGAGGAUGGAGAUUAGAAUGCGAUACUAAAGGUUUGCUGUAAUCUGUAUCCCAUUCCCAGGUCUUGAAUAUUCUGUAAUAAUAUAGUAAUAUGUGCUCUCAUAUAAUUCUAUAUUUGCAGAUUGGAGAGGCAUGAACAUUUUGGCAUGUAAGUUGAUGGGACAAGCAGGUUUCAGAUUCAUUGGAAUCAACCACUACUUCAGCUGUUUUGCAUCUUUUGUGAUUUUAAAUUUUACAUUUUACAAUAAAAGUAAAAAAGAUACAAGCUCCAUGGACAAGUUUUGUAUUGUGUAGUUCCAGCCUCAGGCUGAUGGUUUAUAAUGUACAAUUUACAAUAUAUCACAAUUUGUAAUAUACAGUACCAGAUGAUUUUAUGGCCAAAUUAUCCUUAAUCGCUUUCAUGAACUAAUGGAAAUUUGUAAAAGCGGGUCACAUUUGCAGUGAUGCCGCUAUUUUUCCUGAAUAUUCCUAGUUCUGAAGAUUGUCUAAAUCAUGUUAGUAGCUGCCAUCAGUGAAUGCAUUCAACGGCUUACUGAAACUGGUAGAGAUACUAAAUUCACAAGUUAUUGAUAGAAUAGAAGAUGACAGAGUGUCCAUGCGUCAGUUUAAGGAUCGAGAUGUGUAGCCGUGACUUGUAUUUUAAAAUUGCACAAGAUGCUUUACAAUGGUAGCAGAGGGCUGCGGAUUUAUUGGGUUAGUUGGAAGCACUCAAGUCGAAUUGGUUGUAGCAGAGCAAGAAGCUGAGCACGACCAUAAGAAUUUGAACUCUGAGGCUAAUUUGACUCUACUUGUAAGCCUUCCACUAGACAGCAAGGUUAGGAGAAAGAUUGAGUCGAUGUAAGCCUUCCUCUGACGCCUGUGACAGAUCAAUGAGGCAUGAAAGUUGGGAACAGGGGACGAUUGGCGUAUUGGAAUGGAAGUGGAAAACUUCUUCAGAGCCUGAUGCUCUCGGAGAUACAAUCUAAUGAAAAAGCGUAAUGAUGAUCAUGACUCCGCCCUUGCUCUAAAUCAGUAAGAUCAACCUCUCUACACAAUUCACUAAUACCACCUCUUUAUAACAUUCUCACUCCUAGGUGAUGAAUAAAGUAUCAAGAAACAUAUUUUGUAUAAUGAAUUAUAUUUUUUAUUAUAUUCCUUUUUUUAAAAUAUAUUGCGUAUUACACUGUUUAUUAAUUCUAUUUGAAGCAAUUAAUUAAUUUUUAGCCGUAAUUUAACUUUCAAGGUAGCAUUAUCAGCAUGAGGAAUAGGCAGAGCUUCCAGAUGCUCUCUUCUGAUAGAUAUCAUUCAGCACUUGCUCUGAGUUUGUUGAUCAACCACGCGAUGUUGUAGGCAGCUCCUAUCUUAUCUGCAAUCAAGUUAAUGAACCACUACCUCAGUUGUUAAGCAUCUUUCAACAUUUCACAUUUUUGAGCAUUUAAUUAAUUAGUCAUCAGUCUUGUAUUUAGCUUGAUCGAACAUAAUUGUUCUCUUCAAUUUCUUUGCCUACUUGUCGACGUGUUUAUGUAGCGUGUCUCUACUCUGUAGCUUACACAUCAUUGAUUCAUGUUAUUUUCCCCUUAGGAACUUGAGAGACAUUUGGCAUCAAAAGAAGCUUCUCUCCCGCAAGAACCAUUUUCCCCUUAUGAACAUUUGACAUUUUGGUGUUGCUGAGAGCGCAGCGACUUUUGAUGAACUCGGCCUGUCUGGCAGACAGGAGGCCUUGUUUCUGGAGUUAAUAUAGCGGAUCUCGAAGAGUUUACCCAGAUGGACCAACUUUGUUUGUUAGUUGGAUGUAAAAGUUGUUUAGAGACGGGUAUUUUGUCGAAGUUUGUAUCUAUUGGGUAUUUCGUCUUUUAGUCAGACUAUGGCUCAUACAGUUUCAUACAGUUUGAAGUUGAUAUCAAAUCUUAGAUUAAAUUACUGAACAUUGUUUCUUGAAUUCGAUAUCGAAUUUUAAACGAAAAUAUGUUCAGUUCUAAUUUAAAAGUUAUGCAAAUUACAUUAAUAAUAUGUGGCCCUGUUUGUUUACCAAAAGCAGAAGCUGCUUCUGGCUUCUGCUUUUCUUGACCCGUUUGUGUAAAGAAGCAGAAGCACUUUUAAUAAACUGAGAAUCCUAACUUCUCUCUCACAGCUUCGGCUUCUUUUCCAAACACUUUAUUCACUUAUUUACUUCUCACUUCUGCUCCACUUCUCUAGUUUAAGCAAGAAGUCACUUCUUUUAAGCUUGCCCAAACGGCCCCAUAAUCUAUUUUGAGUCUCUUGGUCUUCGGUCUUCUAUUGCAGCAUAUCAUGCACAUCUCAAAUGAUUGAAAAUGAACUCUCUCCAAAAGACAAGGGGGUCUGUUGAAGUAGACCUGGAAUUGAUUUUACUUGAAGAAACAAUAAUAGGUCACCUUUUAAAGUUUUGGUCUUUGUCUUUUAUCUCUUAAAGUCUUUGUCGUUUACAUCUCAUACAAUUUGCUAUCGUAUUUAACACUUCACACAAUUCCAUGCUAUCGUAUUGAACACUUCACACAAUUCCAUAAUAUUGAAGAUUUUUGGCUUGAAAUAUUCUAGAGAAUAAGGUUGUACAUAAAAUUCAAUAAUUUAUUUCCUUUCCUUCAAUAUUACAACUCAUAUAUUUGUUGCCAAUGACUCAUUCAAUUCGCAUCAAUUAUUAUCAUCUUCACUUUAUCAAAGAGUCUUGCUCUUCGUCCUUUACAUGCUUUUAUUACGAUCCCCAUGUGCUUUGAAAAUACUUGUGUUAUAGUCCACAUCAAUCAAUACUCCUUAUUAAUAAGCGAAACCACAUUUCAGUGGAACAUCGGUACUAAAAGUACCAAAUUUGAUCAUCUUAUAUCAUAUUUAAUUAUUAUUAUUAUUAUACUCCUAUUAAAAGUAUUAUAUUAUCCUUAGGAGAUUUAUAUUGGUCAGGAAUUUAUAAUAUUUUAAGAUAUUAUAAUUAAAGACGACUUCUAUAAUUAUUAGGAUUUUAUAAUUAAUAUAAACUUCUUACUUAAUAAUGAUAAUCAUUAAACUAUUUUGAAAAAAUGUCGUAUUGGUUAGAAUUUUAUAAUUUUAUUAUAUUAUAAUGAAAAGACUUUCAUAUUUAUUAUGAUUUUAUAAGUAAAUACUUUAAUAUUGGUUAGGAUUUUAUAAUUAUCUUGAUAUUGAUUAGAAUUUUAUAAUUAAAGACUUCAAUGUUAUACUAUUAAAAAAAGAUUUCUAACGUUGUUAGGAUUUUGGAAUGCAACAGUUAUACCACCAAUAAAAUUAUUUAUUUUAAAUUCUUUAAACUCAAAUAAUUUAAUUUAUGAAACAACUCUGUAAAACUCCUAUCAUAUUUCAGCAUUCAAAUAAAUAAAGAUUUAUAUUGAUAUUACUUUUUAUUAAUAUGCCAUAUUUUUCUUUAGUGGAAGAACAUGAGUACCAAAUACCGAAUUAUCAAAAUUUGGUUAAUAUCAUGUAAUUUUAACAUUGUCGUACUCUUCACAAUAUAAUAAUAUUAUUAUAAUAACGGAAAGGGGGUGGUAGCACUAUCAUGAUAAAUGCAAAUUCCAAUGAGAAUAAAAUUACUGUGAAAAUUUUAUAAAUAAAUUAAUUUUAAAUUUAUUUAAUUUAUAAUCUCUAUUAUAGUUUUAUAUUAAUUUGAAAAAUAUCUAUUAAUAUUGAAUAUACAAGAACUUCAAUUAGUGUUACACUUAAUAAUAUUUAUUAGACGUCUAAAAUAACUAUGAACUAAAAAAAUUAAGUUUUAUUAAAAAUGGUUGAAUUUUUUUUCCAUCUAUUUAGAAUAAAAACAACAUAAUAAUUUUAUUAAAAUGAAACUUACCAUUUUAAAAUAAAUUCAUAUAAUAACAUAUAUCCUGAGAAUGUUUAUUUUGAAAAAUAAAACUUAAACAUAAUUAAAUAUUAAUAUGUUAAUGCAUAAUAAGUUUUGUAUCUCAACAAUAAUAAUUUAAAUAACUAUAUCAAAAAUAUUAUAAUUCCAAUAAAUAAUAAACUUAAAAAAUUUAUAUAAUCCCGUGCUUGGCACNCAAAAAUAUUAUAAUUCCAAUAAAUAAUAAACUUAAAAAAUUUAUAUAAUCCCGUGCUUGGCACGGGUUAUAGACUAGUAUUGAUAAAUAGACAAAUUACAAUAUUUAGUUCAUUAAUGAAGAGAUAAGACAUUCAUGUGUAUGUAUUUGAAAAAUAAAAUAUUAUGAAGCUAAAUGAAUAAACACUUCUGAAAAGUAAAACCCGUUUCUGGUCCAUUUUGUAGCUUGAAGAAAUGAAGCAGAAGUCAAGAUUUCCUUGAAGAAACAAAAUUUUAUAAAAGUUAAAAACAAUUCGAUAAUUAUUGUCUUUUUAAAAAACGGAGCACGCAACACUCUUUUAUAUCAUAUUUCAAUUCUUAGAGUCUUCCUUCUACUACUCCAAAAGUGGUUCUAUUAUAGGCCACAUAUUAAUAGAUCGAUACAAAUUUAUUAAAAAGAUCCUUAUUUUCAACAAUCAAUAUCAGUUUGACUACAAAUUUAUCUGAAAUGACCCUUGUUAAUGGACUCUAGCUUAUAGGGUCAAACUUGGCUAUACAUGCCUCGGAGAAAAUUCACCAGUUCGUAGAAGAGACCUUUCUGCUAUCAACUCUAUGAAAAAUGCAGCACUUAUCAUCUAAAUAAAAAUCAGUAAGACUAUCUUAGAUUCUCUGAAGUGUUUAUAUUGCAGCCGCUUGUAUUGAAUACACACAUAAAUAACCACACAUAAUCAGCAAGGUUCGAAUUUUUUUGGUUUAACCAUAUCACCAACAUGAAGAAAAGACUUUCAAGCGUCAUAAUAGCUAAGAGCUUUUAUUUUCAGGAUAACCCCGGUCUAGAUUAUUAUAAAAAACUUGUUUAUAUGGAGACAUAAUAAAGGUCCCAGAAUUUUUUACUCUUCAAGAUUUCCGUUUCUAGCCAAAUUUUUUGACCAUAAAUAAUAUAUUGGUUUUACCUGAAAACAAAAUUUAAAGAAAAUUCAAAUUUUUUUAUUACUUCUUUUCUUUUAUUAUUACUUCUUUUCUUUUAUUUUGAAAUUGCAAAACAGCUCAAAGUAGUUCUAAAAGAAUCAUUCUCCCCGCUAGAAUCAGUUACAAUUAAGGUUGACAAGAUGUUUUAGCUGCGAGUUCUUCAAAUUAUUGCUCGUAAGGUCCACGACAGCUUAGAUAGUCACCAAAACUUUGGCCUGUGGAUUAAGUUGAUGAAAUCUAGUGUAUUAGAAUCAAUGACAGCACUAUUUUAUGGGAUUGAUGCUCACUCUUCAUAUUAUGUGUUUUUCUAAUGUGUGUGUCCAAAUACACACAAUAAACACUAAAUUUGAUAAAAAAUCGUAAUAUUAGUCAUUCCGCUCAUAAAUUUCAAGUGGAGAAGAAAGAGUUUCUCAAAAAAAAGUGGAGAAGAAAGAGCAUCGUGAUUGUCAUUGUACCCUUAAAAUUUGUUCGAUUAGGUUUUUUACAUAGUUUGCGCGUGGUCAUCUGGGUAUGCCUUCAUUAUAUUAAGCCAAUCUAGUAAUUCCAUAUUAAACAAGUUUAAAAUUUUCAAAUUUUGAUCUUAAUAAAAUUGAAAAAAUAGUGAACUUUUUCUUAUUUAUGAUAUUAACAAAUCUCUUACUUUUUUAUUACUGUAUUCAACUAAAUAUUUUUUACAAACCCUCAUAAAUGCAUCACAUCAGUUAUGAAAUUUAAAACAAAUAUAUCCAAUUUCUUCGAGAAAGAUGGUUGUAUAAUUUUUAAUUAAAAAAUUUAAUUAUUUUUAUUUUUAACAUAAUUUACAACUAAAAAAAUAUUAUAUGUUCACUGCUUUGUAAUAUAAUUAAAUAUAUCUUAAAUACAGUUUUUCCUAUAUAUAUGCUAACCUCGAGAGACGUUGAAGAUCAUCCCAAACAAAAUUUGAAAGGGAAAAUGAAAAUGAGGAAUUGCAACCUCUGUUUUUUCACCAUCAGUAUGAUGCUCAUCUUCUUGCAGUUGCAGCACCACCUGGUGGCUUGUUCAUUAAGCCCCCACUUGCAGAAACUUGCCUUGUUCCACUUUAACCAAACCUUCACAAUCACUCCUGGGGAUUGCGAGUAUUAUUCCUACAAAGACGAAGAAUUUUACGAAAUUCCUUCACGGGCAAAGACAAAGAACUGGAGCAUGAGUUCUGAUCACUGCACAUGGGAUGGAGUUAGCUGCGACGACAAGACGGGGGACGUAAUUGGACUGGAUUUAACUUGCGGUCAGCUGGUAGGAGCCAUACACUCAAACAGCACUCUUUUCCAACUCUCUCAUCUUCGCUUCCUCGACCUUUCUUACAAUGACUUUUCCCUCUCCGAUCAGUUCCCUCAGGAAUUUGGCUUCUUUGCAAAAGGAUUGACGCAUCUCAACCUCUCUCGUACUGGAUUAUCAGGGAGAGUUACCUCAGGAAUCUCUCAUUUGCAUAAACUGGUCUCACUUGAUCUCAGUGAGAACUUUGAAGCUGAACUUGAAGCAGAAGUGUUUAAAUCACUAUUGCAGAAUUUAACGCAUCUCAGAGUGCUUAAUCUUCAUGAAGUUAACAUCCCAUCUGUUUUGCCGGUGAAUAUCUCUACUUCUCUAAGAGUUCUUCAAUUGUCGUAUACUCAUAUACACGGAGUAGUACCGCAAGAAGUUUUCCACCUUCCCAACUUGGAAUUACUUGAUUUAUCAAAUAAUCACGACCUGAGAGCUACAUUAUCCAAAGUUAAGUGGGGAAGUAAAGCUACUCUCCAAUACCUUCAUCUUUCAUACAUCAACAUAGAUGGAGGUAUACCUGACUCAAUAGGCUUUUUGGAGUCAUUAGUCAGUUUAGAUCUGCUCGACUGUAAUUUGUCUGGGACGAUGCCAAGAUCCAUUGGACACCUCGUUCAACUUACUCACUUGGACCUCUCUUUUAAUAAUCUCAAUGGCCCAAUUCUAACUUUUUUUACAAACCUUACUGACUUAAGAUAUAUGUCCCUUGGGCUUAACAAUUUUACUGGUCCGUUUCCCUCUUUUCUUGCCCACUCUAGUAAACUAGUUGAGUUGUAUCUUUAUGGUAAUAGGUUUACUGGAUCCGUACCUCGUUCGUUGUUUCACCAUCCAUCGUUAGAGUUCUUGAAUUUGGCAUAUAAUGCAUUCACAGGUCAACUCCAUGAAUUUGAUUCUUCUCGAUCUCGGCUGCAAUCUUUUUCUUGUUCCAGCAAUUUACUCUAUGGAUCCAUUCCUCAUUCAUUUUCUCAACUUGUGAAUCUCACUGAACUAGACUUUUCAUCAAACAGUUUCAGCGGGGUUUUGGAUUUGGAAAUGUUUUCAGGCCUCGGAUUUCUAAAACGUCUUGAUCUUUCUCAUAACAGUCUUUCAGUGAGAAGUACAAUUACGGACACUCUCCCUCCCAAUCUUUACCACUUGGACUUGUCAUCAUGUAACAUGAAAGAGUUUCCUCACUUUUCAAGAGAUGCACACAUCUUCCUGGAUUUUGUAGACCUAUCAAACAAUGAAAUUGAAGGGGAAAUUCCACACUGGAUUGGGUCGAUAGGGAGGUACUCUGUCUACUAUCACAUCCCCUAUCUGAAUCUUUCUCACAACAAACUAAUAGGCGGUCUUGAGCAAUUGCCUUGGGGUCAUAUUAGGUUUCUUGAUCUCCAAUACAAUAAGCUGAAUGGAUCAUUGCCCACCUUGAUGUGUAAUUCCAGCUCUCUUUAUAUUCUAAAUCUCUCUCACAACAAUUUGAGUGGUGUACUACCCAGUUGUCCUACAAAUUUGACUCGUCUUUCAGUGUUGGAUCUGCGGAGGAAUAAAAUUCAGGGAAACAUUCCAGCAACCUUGUCAAAUUUCCGUAACCUGGAAACUAUUAAUUUGAAUGGAAACCGAUUACAAGGAAGCAUUCCUUCUUCUUUUGCUGAAUUUGAUUCUUUAGCCAUUCUUGAUCUUGGAAAUAAUAAGAUAAAUGAUACAUUCCCCCGGUGUUUGGAAGCUCUUCCAAAUCUUCAAGUUCUUGUUCUCAAAUCAAACAAGUUUUAUGGUCUUAUAAACACUAGUUCUAAGAUUGUAUACCCAUUUCCUAGAUUGAGAAUCAUUGAUCUGUCGGACAAUGAGUUUUCCGGUCCACUGCCAGCGAAAUACUUCAGAAACUUCAAGGCUAUGAUGAAUAGUGAUGUAAGCAAAAUAGAUCGCAGUUAUAUGAAUUAUAGUUCCUAUUACAGUGAUUCCACGACUCUGGUGAUUAAAGGAGUAGACAUGGAGUUGGUAAAGAUAUUAACUAUUUUUACAACCAUGGAUGUCUCAAGGAACCAUUUUGAAGGGGAGAUUGUAGAAUCAAUUGGAAAUCUGGUGUCACUUAGACUUCUCAAUUUAUCUCACAAUCAUCUCAGAGGCCGCAUACCAUUCAUGAUUGGAAAUUUGUCAAUGCUGGAAUCACUAGACCUCUCAUUCAACCAACUUGAAGGAGAAAUUCCGCAACAGCUCACCAGUAUAUAUACACUUGAACGUCUUAAUCUGUCAUGCAACCAACUCAGUGGUCGUAUUCCACAAGGUUCUCAGUUUAAUACAUUUGAUAAUGAUAGCUAUGCUGGUAACUUGGGGCUGUGUGGAAAUCCAUUGUCCAAAAAGUGUGAACCUGAUAUUGUGGAGAAAGAAAGUGACGAAGAUGAGGAUGAUGAUUACUUCUUUAGUGGAUUUACUUGGGAAGCGGUGGUGAUUGGAUAUGGGUGUGGAGUGGUGCCUGCAUUUAUCACUGGCUACCUGAUGUUGUUGGCACGGAAACCAAAAUGGUUUGCUGGAAUCAUUGGCAGGGAAUUGGGCCUGAAGAUCAGGAGGAUGGAGAUUAGAAUGCGAUAACUAAAGGUUUGCUGUAAUCUAUAUCCCAUUUGUAGGUCUUCAAUAUUCAGUAAUAAUAUAGUAAUAUCUGCUAUCAUAUAAUUCUAUAUUUGCAGAUUGGAGAGGCAUGAACAUUUUGGCAUGUAAGUUGAUGGGACAAGCAGGAUUCAGAUGCACAUGAAUCAACUACUUCGGUGUUGUAGGCAGCUAGGUUAAUAAACCACUACUUGAGCUGUUAAGCAUCUUUGGUCAUUUUAAAUAUAAAUUGUACAAUAAAAGAUACUUACUCUGCACAUAUUCUAAGUUCCAUAUACAAGUUCUGUAUUGUUUAGUUACUCUGCACAAACUCUAAGUUAGUUUCAACCACUGGGGUGUAAGCAGCCAAGUUAAUAAACCAGCAGUUUCUGUAGCUUUCACAACGUUGCUUCAUAUUAUUUUCCCCCUUGUUAGAUGAGCAAUAUAUUUGUGGAAUGGAUGUACCUGAAUUUGGUAUCCGAAGCUUAGUUAUAGAAAUUGUAGAUCAGCUAGUUUGCAACUUACUGGAAUGCUUUCCAUUGGACUUGAUUUACUCGUAGAGAAGCAGCACGCAAUGUUAAGGAAGGCCUGAUACAUAAUGUAUUUAAGAUAAUGUUUUGCAUCAAUUAUUACAAAAAGCUACUACUUUAAAUUGAUGAACAUUUACUAUAGCAGUACUGUGGUAUUAAAGUGAGUACUAAUAUUAGUGGCGGAGGCAGAACACAAUGUUAGGGGGGCACUUUUUAAUUUUUAACAUUCUAGGGGCAAUUUUUAACAUUCCAGGGGACACAAAAAAUAAUAUUUUGUAGAUUAAUAUUAUCAAAUAGAGUUAAGUUCUAUGGAGUACAUAAAAACAUUAGAGUAUUGGAGUACAAAUCAUAAUUUUUUUUAGUUUGAUUCUAUAUAAUAUCUUUGAAUAUCCAAAUUUUGAUAUAAUCUAUCAUUUAUAAGUUGUGUUGCACAUAAUUGUCAAUUAAUCAUUAAUAUCUUUCAACUUUAACAAAGAUUAAGAUUAUUGUUCUGCUUAUUAGUUAUAUUGCAGAACAUAGAGUCCUAUGAUUUAUAAAAGUAAUUAUUCUACCAUUUGAUCAUGAUGUUUAUGUUGCAGAACAUAAUGUGCAGGUUGUCAAAUAUUUACAAAUAUUAUUGGACAAAAAAAUUGAAAUUUAGAUGACUAAAUUACAUUUUAUCAAACUUUGUACUCCAAUACUCCAAUUUUUUUUUGUACUCCAUAGAACUUAACUCUUAUCAAAUAUAUGGAUCUUAUAUAAAAACAUACACAUUUUUCUGAAACUUAUGAGGGCAUGGGCACCCAGAGGCCCCCAUGUCCCUCCGCCUCUGCUAAUAUAAGAUGUUAGUCGAGUUCGAAGAAGUUUUGGAAUUCUUUUUAUUGAGAGUUUUUGCAAAACGUGGUUAGGAAAUUGAGAAUUUUGAGUUUUAAAAUUAGCUGUAAAAAAUAAUCGGUCAAUUGUAUUAGAUAUUACAUGCAUUUGAGUUUUAAAAUUAGGUGUAAAAAAUAAUGGGUCAACUGCAACAGAAAUGAAUUGGUUUGGUUUCACCCGGAAGAGUUCUGCACUUCACACUCUAGAUUCCAGAAAUAAAAAAAUUCAAAUAUAAAAUGUCAAAUAUUUUAGUUUAUACUCCCUCCGUCCAUUUUAGAUUUUUAGUUGUCACUGCCGGUCAAAUUGACCAAAAUUUGACUAAAAUUUAUUAAUAUUUUAUUAAUUGAAAAAAUAAAAAAAUUAUGUUACCACAAAUUACUUUCAAUCUACAUGAAAUUUUCAAUUUUUUAAAAUAAUGAAGAAGUAACUUGUAAUCUUUGAUCAAAAAUUAGUUAAUUUGACAUAAAAAAAAAAUUGUUACAACUAAAAUGGACCAAGGAAGUACAUAAGAUUUGCUAGUUACCUGCUUACCUUCACUCCUUAUGUCUUAAGCCACUCUUUAUUAUUUUUGAUUACAUAAUAAAUAUGUUUAAACUUUUAACUUUUUAUAUUUAAUAAAUUUAUAUAAUUUAAUUAUUAAAUUUUUUGAUUUGUAUUAAGUUUAAUUUAUAGAUACAUUUAUAUCAAAAUUACUAAAAUCAAUCAAAAUUUUAAUAUUUUGAUUCAGUAACCAGAAUAUAAAUAUAUUUAACUUUUGAAAUGAUAUAUAAAUAGUUUAUGAUUAAAAAAAAUUAAUAAGUAACUUGCACAAUUUCUCUUAAUUACAGUAAUAAAUCUCUUAUUAGUACUUUCAACUAAAUAUUUCUCCCAAACACUUAUAAUUUAUGUCCAAUUUUCAUAUUAUUUCUUUUAGAAAGAUUGUUGUAUUAUUUUAAAUUUUAGUAAUUAAAUCAGUUUUAUUUUUAUGAAUUCCAAAUUUAAAAACCUUAAUAUUUUUGUCACGCUACUUCUUAUUUGUAAUACAAAUUAUUUCUAGAUAAAAUUAAUAUAUUAAUAAAUAUAGUGUAAUUAACUACAUAUAAUACAUUGAAAUUAAAUAAAUAUGCUCUGUACAUUUUUUUCACAUGCAAAAAACUGCACUGUUUCGGUUUAAGCAAAGCUUGAUAAUCAGGACUCCUAGCUGGAAUGGCGAGUAUUAUUCCUACGAAGAAGAUGAUGUUCAUGAUAUCCCUUCACCCCCAAAGACAAUGAAUUGGAGCAUGAAUUCUGAUUACUGUGCAUGUGGGAUGGAGUUAGCUGCGACGAGAAUACAGGGGACCUAACCGGACUGGAUUUAAGCUGCAGUCAUCUGGUGCAUUGGAAUGAAAUUAUAGAACUUCUUCAGAGCCUGAUGCUCUCGAGGAUGCAGUAAUGAACAAGCCUAAUGAUGAUCAUGAGUCAUAACUCCGUCCUCGAGAGCCUGAUGCUCUCGAGGAUGCACUAAUGAACAAGCCUAAUGAUGAUCAUGAGUCAUAACUCCGUCCUUGAAUAAAGUGUCAUGAAACAUAUUUUGUAUUACAUUUUGUAUUAUUGGAAACUUGAUUUGAAACCAAAAUAGUUUGGUGGAAUCAUUGCCAGGGUAUUGGGUCUGAAGAUCGAGGAUGGAGAAUAAAUUGAUUUUGUUCAAAUAUUUAACACAAGCCCAUCAUCAUUAUCCAACACAAGCCCGGUCCAGUAUAGAGUUCUGGCAACUCCAUUGUUGAACACUUCUGUUGAAGUUGGCCUGUCUGGCAGACAAGAGGCCCUGUUUUAGAGGUGAUAUAUGCGCACAGGUAAAAAAUGUAUAUUUCUUCCAAUAGAUUACAUCUCUUUUCUUCAAAAUUUAUUGUAGUUUCAAAAAGUAGCAUUUGAGAACUCAUUCUAUUCCCCUUUUAAAUACUUGGUCUUGGUCAAUACAAACACGAUUAAGACCGGUGUCAAUAUCCCUCAUAAUUUUUCCACUCCUUUGAAUGGCAUUCUACAAUCCACAUAUCAGACUCAUAAAUAAUUAGUUGAAAUCAUUACCAUAGUCCAUAGCGAAAAGACUUUCACCAUUGAACCAUUGCAUAGAUAAUUGAAGAAAGAAACUUCAACAUAUUUGCAUAUCUUUAUCUAUCUUUUUUUCUAGUCAUCAACAGGCACAAGCUGUUGAUUUUUAUAUGUUCUUAAUUGGUAUAAGCAUUUAAGGUGAGUGUUGAUAUUUCUCACUAAUCUUCUUCUGCUCUAAGUGACAUAUUAUUACAAUCCACAAAUUAGUAGACAGACUAAUAUGGUUAGUUGAGACCAUCAAUCUGGAGAACAGACUAAUACAUGUGUAGUAAUCUGAUCAUCAUUUAUUUGAUUACAAUAGAAAUUCGGCUUUGUUUAGUUCCAUCCUCGGGCUCUUCAUUUCUAAACAUAUUUGCUGAUACUUUUUAUUGUACAAUUUAGAAUAUUCCAUAAAAUUUUAUAUUCGGUGCUAGAUGAAUUUAUGUCUUGUUUUCAUUCCAUUCAUGAACUAAUGAAAAUUUUAAAAUUGGGUCAUAUUAGGCAGUGAUGCCACCUUUCUGGACCUGCAUUUCAUGACCACAAACUCCUAUUGUGCCAAAAAAUUCCAGCUGUUUCGUGAGAUUUUUCUACGUGCUCUUUUGUUCGGACUUGUUUGCUGAAUCCCACAAUAGACAAUAUUGAUGUUAACAACUCUUGCGUCAGUUACUAGACUCGUUGUUAGUAGCCCAUUCUUUACGGCAGACGUGGAAUUUACUUGAAGAAAUGAAGGUGUAAGAACAGGGGCGGAUCCAGCCUUCGCAUCUCACCCGGGCUGAAAGCCUGAAACACUUAUAACCUUGAAGGUAUACAGUGGAGGUGAAGAGGGGAAAAAAAUAUAUAUGGUACUGACAGUGACAUGGAAAUAUGGAUAUUAUUCUUUUAACCUGCUGCAGGGACUAUCAGCUGGUAAAUUCAUGUCAAAUCAAUUUUUUUGACNGCCGAGACGAGUCGGCGAGACGGCCGAGACGAGUCGUCGACGUGCGAGACGAGUUGGCGCGAGACGGGCGAAGCGAGACAUCUCCGAGACGAGUCAUGCGUGCGUGCCGAUACGUACGAGCCGAGACGAGGCGUCCACGUUUUCUCAAACCCAGGCUCGUGAUCGCCUCGUCUAUUUNACUAUAACUAAUAAUUCAUGUCAAAAUCAAGAUUAUAAAAAUUAAUAAUAUGACUACAAAAAUAAAAUAUAAACGUAAGGUAAUAACAUAUGGUAAACCUGAAUAUAUUUUAGUAACAAUUGUUUUGACAUAGUUAGAUUAAGGGAUUAAAUUAUUAUAUAAAAUAAUAAAAGUAGCUAUAUAUUAAAAAAAUAAAGCUAUAUUUAUAUAAUUAGUUUAAACACGUCAAAAGGUCAAAAAGCAAGAUUAAACCGCUUAGCUUAUAUAAACACCAUGACCGACUGUUUGACCUAAACUAAACAAAUUUAUAUUUAAAAUACAAAAUUACAUGAAUAAAACCGAAAUAGGGUUACAAUUCAUAAAAGUUAACAGCAACUCUGGUUAAUUAAUAAAGUUCCAGACCCAAAACUGAGAAAAGUGUCGGGCUUUUUAAAAUUUUAGACCGGGCUAAAGAUCAGUAAACUUUCGUCGAGGCUGGUAAAAUUUUUUGUAUCAUAAAACUCACCCGGGCUUUAGCCCACCGGAGCCCAUACAUAGAGAAAGUUGAGAACAUUUUGUUGAUUAUUCCCUUCCCUAGAAACUGCACUCCGCCAUCAAAGUACCUUUCAAAGACUCCAGCAUCAUUUCUUGAUUAUCAAAGUCUUCGUCUUUGUCAUCUCCUGCUCUGAAAGUGUUUCUAUUGCAGACCACAUAUUAGUAGACAGACUACUAAAAUUCAUCUAAAAUGACCUCUCUGCGUGGGCUCUUUUGAACAAUCAGGGUUGGACAUGAUUCUACACGCAUCAGAGAAAAACUAUCAGCUGGCUAAANUCUUCAAAAUUUAUUGUAGUUUCAAAAAGUAGCAUUUGAGAACUCAUUCUAUUCCCCUUUUAAAUACUUGGUCUUGGUCAAUACAAACACGAUUAAGACCGGUGUCAAUAUCCCUCAUAAUUUUUCCACUCCUUUGAAUGGCAUUCUACAAUCCACAUAUCAGACUCAUAAAUAAUUAGUUGAAAUCAUUACCAUAGUCCAUAGCGAAAAGACUUUCACCAUUGAACCAUUGCAUAGAUAAUUGAAGAAAGAAACUUCAACAUAUUUGCAUAUCUUUAUCUAUCUUUUUUUCUAGUCAUCAACAGGCACAAGCUGUUGAUUUUUAUAUGUUCUUAAUUGGUAUAAGCAUUUAAGGUGAGUGUUGAUAUUUCUCACUAAUCUUCUUCUGCUCUAAGUGACAUAUUAUUACAAUCCACAAAUUAGUAGACAGACUAAUAUGGUUAGUUGAGACCAUCAAUCUGGAGAACAGACUAAUACAUGUGUAGUAAUCUGAUCAUCAUUUAUUUGAUUACAAUAGAAAUUCGGCUUUGUUUAGUUCCAUCCUCGGGCUCUUCAUUUCUAAACAUAUUUGCUGAUACUUUUUAUUGUACAAUUUAGAAUAUUCCAUAAAAUUUUAUAUUCGGUGCUAGAUGAAUUUAUGUCUUGUUUUCAUUCCAUUCAUGAACUAAUGAAAAUUUUAAAAUUGGGUCAUAUUAGGCAGUGAUGCCACCUUUCUGGACCUGCAUUUCAUGACCACAAACUCCUAUUGUGCCAAAAAAUUCCAGCUGUUUCGUGAGAUUUUUCUACGUGCUCUUUUGUUCGGACUUGUUUGCUGAAUCCCACAAUAGACAAUAUUGAUGUUAACAACUCUUGCGUCAGUUACUAGACUCGUUGUUAGUAGCCCAUUCUUUACGGCAGACGUGGAAUUUACUUGAAGAAAUGAAGGUGUAAGAACAGGGGCGGAUCCAGCCUUCGCAUCUCACCCGGGCUGAAAGCCUGAAACACUUAUAACCUUGAAGGUAUACAGUGGAGGUGAAGAGGGGAAAAAAAUAUAUAUGGUACUGACAGUGACAUGGAAAUAUGGAUAUUAUUCUUUUAACCUGCUGCAGGGACUAUCAGCUGGUAAAUUCAUGUCAAAUCAAUUUUUUUGACUUUAUAUAUAUAUAUACUCAUUUACAUAUAAAAAAAAUAUAAAAUUUAAGAAUCUCAAAUAUUGGAGGUAGCCUGAAUAACAUUUGUUUGUCACUAAUACAAUAAAAAUUAAUUUUGUAUGAUCAGCUACAUAGACUAAAUCAUUUUAUUUUAUUUAUUUUAAACUAUAACUAAUAAUUCAUGUCAAAAUCAAGAUUAUAAAAAUUAAUAAUAUGACUACAAAAAUAAAAUAUAAACGUAAGGUAAUAACAUAUGGUAAACCUGAAUAUAUUUUAGUAACAAUUGUUUUGACAUAGUUAGAUUAAGGGAUUAAAUUAUUAUAUAAAAUAAUAAAAGUAGCUAUAUAUUAAAAAAAUAAAGCUAUAUUUAUAUAAUUAGUUUAAACACGUCAAAAGGUCAAAAAGCAAGAUUAAACCGCUUAGCUUAUAUAAACACCAUGACCGACUGUUUGACCUAAACUAAACAAAUUUAUAUUUAAAAUACAAAAUUACAUGAAUAAAACCGAAAUAGGGUUACAAUUCAUAAAAGUUAACAGCAACUCUGGUUAAUUAAUAAAGUUCCAGACCCAAAACUGAGAAAAGUGUCGGGCUUUUUAAAAUUUUAGACCGGGCUAAAGAUCAGUAAACUUUCGUCGAGGCUGGUAAAAUUUUUUGUAUCAUAAAACUCACCCGGGCUUUAGCCCACCGGAGCCCAUACAUAGAGAAAGUUGAGAACAUUUUGUUGAUUAUUCCCUUCCCUAGAAACUGCACUCCGCCAUCAAAGUACCUUUCAAAGACUCCAGCAUCAUUUCUUGAUUAUCAAAGUCUUCGUCUUUGUCAUCUCCUGCUCUGAAAGUGUUUCUAUUGCAGACCACAUAUUAGUAGACAGACUACUAAAAUUCAUCUAAAAUGACCUCUCUGCGUGGGCUCUUUUGAACAAUCAGGGUUGGACAUGAUUCUACACGCAUCAGAGAAAAACUAUCAGCUGGCUAAAGACCUCUCUGCAUCAACUCUAUUAAGAAAAGAAACUAUGGCUCAUACAGUUUAAGUUGAUAUCAAAUCGUAAAUGAGAAUACUUGCAGUUUUAAAUUACUGCACGCUAUUUUUUUUAACGAAAAUAUGUGCAGUUUUAACAUAGUCUAAUUAUUUUCUUGAUGACGGCUAUGCAAAUUGUGAUAGUUGAAUUUUUUUUAUGGUCUUUGACAAGCAUCAAGGAAAUUGUGAUAGUUGAAUUACCCUGAUUGUCAAAAACUACCUCGUAAUCAGAACGGGUUUUUUUUUGAGUUUGUUAAGGAUUCUCUCCAGGCAAAAGUUUCUCUUAUGCAGUUGAAGGUGAAAAUUAAGUCGUUGAAGAGGAAAUAUAAGUCUCUCAAAGAUUAUGAUGUUGUGUUUGACAAACCCAUGGAAGAGGAAUUGUUUCGCCUUUCCGAUAAGGUUUGGAGCCAAGGGAUUGAUAAUCAGGGUAAUGCUGCUAGCAAGGACAAGGAUAUAAGUAUCGAGAUCAAAGAGGAUGGAGUGAUUGAGGACUGUAGGAAGGAUAAGGAUACGAGCAUUGGGAUAAAUGAGGAUGGAGUGAAUGAGGCCGGUAGGAAGGAAAAGGAUACGAGAAUCGGGAUAAAUGGGGAUGGAGUGAAUGAGGACGGUAGGAAGGACAACGAUAUGAGCAUCGGGAUAAAUGGGGAUAUGGUAGAAGCCUCCAGGCUAAUGUGUCGAAGGGGAGGACAUGGAUGCUAUGGAAAUUUAGUUAGGAGGAAAUAUAAAUCAUGCUAACAGGAGCAGAUGAUGAACUUGAUUGCAAUGAAGAACUGAAGUUCCACAACGAGAUGAAGUCGACGAAGGAAGGUAGGAAGGACAAGGAUACGAUCAUCAGUCUUGUAUUUAGCUUGAUCGAAAAUAACUGUUCUCUUCAAAUUCUUUCCCUNUCUCUACUCUGUAGCUUACACAUCAUUGAUUCAUAUUAUUUUCCCUUAGGAACUUGAGAGACAUUUGGCAUCUAAAGAAGCUUCUCUCCCGCAAGAACCAUCACCAGAUGAUGAUAAUGCCGUUAACCUGCUUGUGCGGAUGCCGGAUGGCGGCCGGCAAGGCCGCAGAUUCCUCAAGUCCCACAAGCUUCAGGUAUUUAUUCCGUGACAAUAUUUUUCCAGUUAUUGGUUAAAAGUUGUAUAAUUGGUUGUUACUUGAUUUGCAGCAUCUUUUUGACUUCAUCGAUGUUGGUCGGUUGGUCAGACCUGGUACUUACAGACUGGUAAUCCUUCAUGUGCUUUUUUACCUUUCACACUUAAUUCUUGUGGGGGCACACUUAUAUUUUUACAAAGUUUUAAAUGACGAAUAAAUUCCAAAUAAUUUUUAUGGGGGACAGUCCCCCUUGCUAGAUCCCCUCCUGGUGUCCAAACUUUUUUUACAUUUCAUAAUUGAUUGUCUGGACCGGCAAAGAGCAAUGAAUAUUCAUUUUAGUCACAUAGGAGUGUCGGGGUUUGUAUUGUUGUUAUGCUUGAUAGUAUAUAGAGAGCUUAUUGACUAGUUGACUCAACAUCGUUUCUUUUUCCUUUCCCCCAUCUUCUCUGGUGAUUAAUGUUUGCGUGAUCCCACUAGUCCUUCCGCAAAAAAAAAAAGAAGUUAUAUUGUAUUUUUAAAAUGAAUUGCAUUUCAAACUAUUUGUUUGAUAAGUAGGGUACUCGUGUAAUUUAAUUGUAAUAUCGAUACCUUUUUUUGUAACACCAAAGAAAAAUUAGAAUCUUUAUAGUGUCAGGACUCUUGAUACUUGGUAGAUGCUUGAGAAGAAGGCUGUAUUUGAAGAUAUGGAGAAUGUGGUAACCAUAUGACUAAGGUCAACUAACUUUUGCUUGCUAAAGUGGAACUCUGUCAAAAAUUUAUCUGUAUCUAUCUCUUUUUUGUAGUCAUCAGUAGAUUUACUCUUCCAUAUGUAUCAGGGUCAAGUUGUUGAAAUAUAUCAGUCCUUAAUAGGUGUUAGCACAAUUUAGAUGAGCAAAAUAUUUAAGGAACGUAUGUACUUCAACUUGGCAUGCAAAACGAGUUAUACAAAUGGUAGAUUAGCUAGUUGGUAAUUUAAUGAGAAUCCUUUCCAUUGGACUUGAUUCAUUGAUAGAGAAGCAAAGCACAAUGUUACUUCCUGAUACAUAAUGUAUUUAUGCCUCGUAUAGAUAUAUUAUGAUUGUUAGAAUUAAACAUGUUUUAUUUUGCACAGGCAAGGCCGUAUCCAAGACGGGCUUUUGGUGUUGGUGAGAGCUCAACAACUUUUGAUGAACUUGGCCUGUCUGGCAGACAGGAGGCCUUGUUUCUGGAGUUAAUAUAGCAGAUAUAGUUAUCGUAAAAUUGUAAUAGGAUCUCGAAGAGUUUACCCAGAUGGACCAACUUUGUUUGUUAGUUGUAAAAGUUGUUUAGAGAUGGAUAUUUUGUCAAAGUUUGUAUCUAUUGGGUAUUUGGUCUUUUAGUCAGACUGUGGCUCAUACAGUUUGAAGUUGAUAUCAAAUCUUAGAUGAGAAUGUUUGCAGUUUGAAAUUACUGAACAUUGUUUCUUGAAUUCGAUAUCGAAUUUUAAACGAGAAUAUGUCCAGUUCCACUACAAGAGAAAGCGAUUCUACCAAUGGAAUUUGCUAAGGGAAAUUAGUCCGUUGGUAGUUCCCAACGGAUUUGUAAUGAUUUGACUAGUCAAUGUUCUGCCAACCAAGUCGCAACGAAAUACCCACGUUUAUUUACCAACGAAACGUUCCGUUAAGAAAUAUAACCACAUAAUGGAAUAGUAACAAAAGGCCAAGGAAUGAGCAACAGACUAGUAACGAAAAUAUCUGUUAUUACGUUCAUUGAUAUUCCGUUGAUAAAUACUAACAAUUCCGUUAGUAAUUGAUUAUUAGUUUUAUAACAUGGACAAUUGAUAUACACUACAUGAGCAGUCUCUUAUUUGACAUUUGUGUCAUGCUAAAGCCCAAUGGGCUUUAGUCGAUUAAAUUGAUUUGGGUUGUAGAAAACGGCCAAUAAUAUAAUGGACUUUGAUAUGUAUCGUAAAUAUUAAGUAAUUUUCUUGGAUUUAUGUAUAUAACAUAAUUGUUAAUUGGCUCAUCCUUAACUAGAAAUUUUAUAUUACAUUCUUAACUAGAAAUUUUAUAUUUAAAAAAAAUUAAUCUUUUAUGUGGUAUGUGGAUUUUGUAGUCAAAUGCGGUCAAUUUACUUAGCCUUUGAUCGGAUACCUACCCAAAACAUAAAAAUAUUUUUUAUUUUCGAUGAUCCAGCUAUACGGAUAUUAUUGUAAUGUGAUAAUAUUGAUUAAAUUUUUUUUUAAAAAAGUAGCAUUUUAUUUGGUAUGUGAAUUUUGUAGUCAAAUGCAAUUAAAUUACUUAGUCUCUAAUGGAAUACUUGCCCGAAACAUAAAACUAUUUUCUUAAAACACAAUUUGGACGAUCCAACCAUACAGAUGUUAUUAUAACGUGUUAAUAUUGGUUAAAAUAAUUUUUAAGAAUAUAUGUCUUUUAUUUGGUGUGUGGAUCUUGCAGUCAAAUGCGGUCAAAUUACUUAGCCUUCAAUCGAAUACUUACCCAAAACAUGAAACUGUUUUUUUAAAAAUCAUUUCGGACGAUCCAACCGUACGGAUAUUAUUGUAAUGUGAUAAUAUUGAUUAAAUUUGUUUUUGAAAAAUUUUAGCUUUUGAUUUGGUGCGUGGAUUUUGUAGUCAAAUGCGGUCAAACUACUUGGCCUUUAAUGAAAUACUUACACGAAACAUGAAAUUAUUUUUUUUUAAAACCAUUUUGGAUGAUCCAACCGUGCGGAUGUUAUUAUAACGUGUUAUAUUGAUUAAAAUAUUAUUUAAAAAAUAGCCUUUUAUUUGGUGUGUGGAUUUUGUAGUCAAAUGCUCAAAUUACUUAGCCUUUAAUCGAAUACUUACCUUAAACAUGAAACUAUUUUUAAAAAAAUUAUUUUGGAUGAUUCAAACUGUAGGGAUGUUAUUUUAACAUCUUAAUAUUGAUUAAAAUUAUUUUAAAACAAUUUAGUUUUUUUUUAUGUGUGAAUAUUUUAGUCAAGUACGAUAAAUUAUUUAUUUAGCCUUCAAUGAAAAAUUAAAAAUCCCGCACAGCCAAAAGUUUUCCCUCGUUUUGUGAAUCUUCCCCAGCCAUUUCCCCCCAACCCCAACCCCGAAAUUCACAAAACUCUCCCCCCAAAUUAGCUCGGCCUCUCCCAAAUCUCUAUCUCUCUUUGUAUAUCUUUAGGUGUGUUUUGUAGAGGCGGCCACCUCCAAAGCUUCAAAAUAAUCAAACUUAUCACCGCCGCUGUUCGAGAAUGAAUUUCUUUUAGGAGAUUCGUCGAUUUAGUUAUCAAAUUAGUUACCAUUAGGGUUCUACUCCGAUUUUCAAUAGUAUGAUGUUGGGGUUCGAUUGGUCGAUUGUCAUGUUUUAUAAGUUAUGUGGGUUCGAUUUUGAUGUUUUUACAAUUAGGUUUAUGUAUGUUUUUAUACGGGUUUCAUGUUCAUGUUUCGAUUUGUUGAUUUCCUAUUUUUCCUAUAUGUUAAUUUGUUAUUUGUGUGGAUUUUGGAUUUUGAUGUGUGUGUGUGUAAUGCCCUGUUUUUUUUUCAUUUUUUCAGGUUCGAACACUUCGAUUAGUAGCCGGAAAAACAACUGAUGCGGCAGUAGCGGCUAGCAAGGAGAUGAAUAACAAGAAAAGGCCGAUUUCGAGGUCAUCUCGUGCAAGUCUUCAGGUAUAGUUUUAUUCCUUUAUAUUUUUAAUCGACAUAAAUCUAACAAGUAAUUAUAGUUCUAACAAGUAAUUAUAGUUCUGAAUGGGGAGCUUAUUGUGAAAUUGAAUUGAGGGACAAGUUGUGUUAUUGGUUCCAGUAGAUAAAUUUAUGUUGACACUUGAUAUAUGCAUUUUUCCACUAUGAUGCUCCCUUUGGUUUGCUUAAGGUCAAGUACCGUUACUUAAUGCAUUUACAAGUAUUCCAGAACAAGUUUGUGCGCCAUAGUGCUACCUUAAUCUAUGAAUUUGAUGCCAGGCACUUUAGGUGUUAUCUCUUAUUGAUUUUUUAUUGGAGAGUUUGGGUGUUUUCUGGAAGAAGUAUAUAGUGAGAGCAGAGGUUUUCAUUUUCGUCAUGAUUUACUCUAAUGUUUCUAAUGUUCACCUGUUAACUGCUGUAGAUUUGGGCUUUAUCUAUUUCUACAUAAUUUAUUUUUGUCUUUGUUGCUGCUUCUUGAUAAUUUUCAAUAAUUGAAACUUUUGUUACAAAUAUAUGCUUGCUAGUCAAUUGUAUGUAGAAAUCUCUAACAAAACUUUAACUUUUACCUUUGAAAUUUAGUUACGAAUUUAAAGAAUUUGACUAGAACUUCAGUCGGUGGAUUCUUGACAUUUUUAUGUAAAUCAUAUAGUAUUCAGGAGUUACCCUGUAAAAUGCCCACAAAUCUUAAAUUAAUUAGAAGUCAAGUAAUAAGCUUAAGGCCUCUGAGACUGUGUCUGCAUUCUAGAUUUCAAUACAUUCUAUAUCAUAAUGUUGUUAAACUGCUUUUUAGCAAGUGCUUGAGUUUUUGGUAUCUACAUAUAAGAUUAUCUAAGAUAUCAAUUUAUUCAUGAGAGCAGGUUGAUGACAAGUACCGAUACAUGUGUGAAAAAAAAAAAGAUAACAUGGUCCAUGGAGUUGGUUCUUUGCAAUCUCUCUUUUAUAAGCCGGAGAUUCCUUGCAGUCCAUCCUUUGCUGAUGCAGAAAAUCAGAAGUUGCACGAAGAACUAAAUGUGAUGAAGGAUAAGAUGAAAGCAAUGGAGAAUCAAAUAGCUAUGGUUGUGUUAGUACUAGCUAGUUUUCAAGCCUCGUUAGUAAUUGAUGGCUCCUUUUAGAUAUAAUACUUGAACACUAUUGUAUCGGGUAACUCUUAUCUCAUUUUGAAGAUCGUAAAGAAACGUUUAUUAUGUAAAAAGAGUACACUUUUGUUAUUUCUUUAUUUGCAUUUUUAUAGACAUAAAAAUGAACAAUUCUAGAAAAUGAAAAAUUUGCACUGUAUUUGAGCAUGCAUACCAACAGAAUAUGUUUAUAUCUACUAACGGAAAUUUAACAACCGAAAGAGUCUUUUAGUUCUUUGUUGUUAAAUUUAACAAUUUUGACUAUACUUAACAUCAGAUUUUCCGUUGGGAAUAUGUUGCUAGAAUUGCCAACCGAAUAUUCUGUUGGCGGGAUGGUGUUUCUUUUGUUAUUUUGCAAAAUAGAGGUCUGUUACGAGAUUGUUACUACUCGGUUGCUAACUUAGCAACGGACACCUAAUUCGGUUGGCGAGGUGCUUCCCAACGACGUUUACUCUAACGGUCCAGUUCAGUGGGCAUUCCGUUAGGAAUCUCUUUUACCAACGGAUUUUCUUGAUUUGCCAACAUAAUAUUUCGUUGGGAAUAAUGAAAUUUCUUGUAGUGUUCUAACUUGAAAGUUAUGCAAAUUACGUUAAUAAUAUCAUCAAUUUUGAGUCUCUUGGUCUUCGGUCUUCUAUUGCAGCAUAUCAUACACUUCUCAAGUGAUUGAAAAUGAACUCUCUCCAAAAGGCAAGGGGUCUGUCGAAGUAGACCUGGAAUUGAUUUUACUUGAAGAAACAAUAAUAGUUCACCUUUUAAAGUUUUGGUCUUUGUCUUUUGUCUCUCAAAGUCUUGAUCUUUGUCGUUUACAUCUCAUACAAUUUGCUAUCGUAUUGAACACUUCACACAAUUUCAUACUAUCGUAUUGAACACUUCACACUUCACACAAUUCCAUAAUAUUGAAGAUUUUUGGCUUGAAAUAUUCUAGAGAAUAAGAUUGUACAUAAAAUCCAACAAUUUAUUUCCUUUUCUACAAUAUUACAACUCAUAUAUUUGUUGCCAAUGACUCAUUCAAUUCGCAUCAAUUACUAUCAUCUUCACUUUAUCAAAGAGUCUUGCUCUUUGUCCUCUACAUGCUUUUAUCACGGUCCCCAUGUUAGUGUGAUUUGAAAAUACUUGUGUUACAGUCCACAUAUUGAUAAAUAGACAAAUUAUAAUAUUUAGUUCAUUAAUGAAUAGAUAAGACGUUCAUGUGUAUGUAUUUGAAAAAUAAAAUAUUAUGAAGCUAAAUGAAUAAACACUUCUGAAGAGUAAAACGCGUUUCUGGUCCAUUUUGUAGCUUGAAGAAAUGAAGCAGAAGUCAAGAUUUUCUUGAAGAAACGAAAUUUUAUAAAAGUUAAAAACAAUUCGAUAAUUAUUGUCUUUUCAAAAAACGGGGCACGCAACACUCUUUUAUAUCAUCUUUCAAUUCUUAGAGUCUUCCUUCUGCUACUCCAAAAGUGGUUCUAUUAUAGGUCACAUAUUAAUAGAUCGAUACAAAUUUAUUAAAAAGAUCCUUAUUUUCAACGAUCAAUAUCAGUUUGACUAUAAAUUUAUCUGAAAUGACCCUUGUUAAUGGACUCUAGCUUAUAGGGUCAAACUUGGCUAUACAUGCCUCGGAGAAAAUUCAUCAGUUCGUAGAAGAGACCUUUCUGCAUCAACUCUAUGAAAAAUGCAGCACUUAUCAUCUAAAUAAAAAUUAGUAAGACUAUCUUAGAUUCUCUGAAGUGUUUAUAUUGCAGCCGCUUGUAUUGAAUACACACAUAAAUAACCACACAUAAUCAGGAAGGUUCGAAAUUUUUUGGUUUAACCAUAUCACCAACAUGAAGAAAAGACUUUCAAGCGUCAUAAUAGCUAAGAGCAUCUCCAACGGCAUUGGCUAUAAUCGUUGGCUAAAUUAGACAUGUAAGACAUUAUGUAAAAUUUGCUGAACCUGUAAGACAUUUUGCUUCAAUGGUAUUGGCUAUAUUAAUUAGUUGGCUAUAAUUUAAAAAUAGUAUGUUAUUAAUAUUUUAAAUUGUUAAAAUAGAAUAUAUCAGUUCAAUAUGGUAAUAAAUGAUUUACAAUCUUCCUACAGAUUUUCUUACAAACCUGUAGAGGUUCAACAAAUUUAGUCAUCCAUAGGAGGUUGGCUAAAUUUAUAGACAACAGCUGAGCAUGGUUGGAGGUGAGUUUUUGGAGCUGUUACCUAAAUUUUUUUAUUUUAAGUAUGUUAACUCACAUUUUAGCCAAGGGUUUUAGAUGGUUGGAGAUGCUUUGAGAGUUUUUUAUAUUCAGGAUAGCCCCGGUCUAGAUUAUUAUAAAAAACUUGUUUAUAUGGAGACAUAAUAAAGGUCCCAGAAUUUUUUACUCUUCAAGAUUUCCGUUUCUAGCCAAAUUUUUUGACCAUAAAUAAUAUAUUGGUUUUACCUGAAAACAAAAUUUAAAGAAAAUUCAAACUUUUUUAUUAGAGUACUUCUUUUCUUUUAUUAUUACUUCUUUUCUUUUAUUUUGAAAUUGCAAAACAGCUCAAAGUAGUUCUAAAAGAAUCAUUCUCCCCGCUAGGAUCAGUUACAAUUAAGAUUGACAAGAUGUUUUAGCUGCGAGUUCUUCAAAUUAUUGCUCGUAAGGUCCAUGACAGCUUAGAUAGUCACCAAAGCUUUGGCCUGUGGAUUAAGUUGAUGAAAUCUAGUGCAUUAAAAUCAAUGACAGCACUAUUUUAUGGGAUUGAUGCUCGCUCUUAAUAUUAUGCGUUUUUCUAAUGUGUGUGCCCAAAGACACACAAUAAACACUAAAUUUGAUAAAAAAAAUCGUAAUAUUAGUCAUUCCGCUCAUAAAUUUCAACCAGAGAAGAAAGAGCAUCGUGACUGUCAUUGUAUCCUUAAAAUUUGUUCGAUUAGGUUUUUUACAUAGUUUGCGCGUGGUCAUCAGGGUAGGCCUUCAUUAUAUUAAGCCAAUCUAGCUAGUAAUUCCAUAUUAAACAAGUUUAAAAUUUUCAAAUUUUGAUCUUAAUAAAUUUGUAAAAAUAGUAAACUUUUUCUUAUUUAUGAUAUUCACAAAUCUCUUACUUUUUUAUUACUGUAUUCAACUAAAUAUUUUUUAUAAACACUCAUAAAUGCAUCACAUCAGUUAUGAAAUUUAAAACAAAUAGUUUAUAGCCCGUGUAAGGCACGGGAGUUUUUUAAUUAUUUAUAAAUUUCUUAAAUAUAUUUUAAAUGGUGUGAAAAAAUUUAAUUUAUAAAUAAUAAAUUAAAAUUUUCAAUAAAAUAAAAUUCGAAAUUAUAAUUUGUUUGUAAGUUAGAACUGUGGUAAAUACAUCAUCAAGCCCAUUAAUGGUUUCAAAUAAACUAUUGUAAUGAAGCCAUUCUUUUUCUCGUAUGUACCGUGGCAAAGAAUUAAAUUCUGUUUAUCAAAUUUUAAUAUAUUUUGAGUGGAAUACGUUAUUGCCAACUCUUAUUAGAUUAUAUUUAUAAAUGUAUUUUAUAUUAGAAUUAUUAUAGUGUGAUUUAAAUAGUCCGCAAGGGUUAGUUUAGCUGGUUAAAAAGAGGACAUGUAUCCUCUUGGUCACAGGUUCGACUCUCAAAGGGUGGAUUAACGCUAUUGCGUGAUCCACUCCCAAAGGGUGGAUUAACCCUCCAAAGGGUAGCUGUUGCGGGUUCCUAGAUUACAAAAAAAUAAAAAAAUAUAUAAUGUGAUUUAAAUAUUUUUCAAAAAAUUUAUAUGGUUCCAAAUUAAAAUUGAUAAACAUAAUUUGUUGUGAUUUAAAUAUUUUUCAAAAAAUUUAUAUGGUUUCAAAUUAAAAUUGAUAAACAUAAUUUGUUUUUGAAUUAAGAAAAGGAAUCAUAAACAUGCAAUAAGAAGGUAGAAUCUAUUUUGGAUUAAGAAAAAGUUUUUGUAUUUGCUAAUCACAUAAAUCCGGCUUAUUAAUUUUAAAAUAUAUUAUAAAAAAAUUGUGACGGUGAGAUUUAUAUGAUUAAAAAAUUUUUGUAUUUGCUAAUCACAUAAAUCCGGCUUAUUAAUUUUAAAAUAUAUUAUAAAAAAAUUGUGACGGUGAGAUUUAUAUGAUUCUACGAAUAAAACUGGUAGAAAAUAUUUAUUUGGGAUUAAAAAAAUCAUAUACACGUGAAAGACAUAAUUUGUUUUGGAUUCAGAAAAAAAAUUAUAAAUAUGCAAGGUGAUAUCAGUUGCCUUGUAGAACAGAAGUUGAUUUUCGAAUCUAACGGUGCUUAUUUGUUCAAUAUAAGAUGCAACGGAUGAUAAACUUUUGGACCAGAGAACCAUGCGACCAAAUUAUCUCCCUUACGCUUAUUAUAUAUAAGUAUAUAAUAUGUCCAAUUUCUUUGAGAAAGAUGGUUGUAUAAUUUUUAGUUUAAAAUUUUAAUUAUUUUUAUUUUUAAUAUAAUUUACAACUAAAAAGUUUUAUUAUAUUUUGACUGCUUUGUAAUACAAUUAAAUAUAUCUUAAAUACACUUUUUCCUAUAUAUAUACGCUAACCUCGAGAGAUGUUGAAGAUCGUCCGAAACAAAAUUUGAAAGGGAAAAUGAAAAUGAGGAAUUGCAACCUCUGUUUUUUCACCAUCAGUAUGAUGCUCAUCUUCUUGAAGUUGCAGCACCACCUGGUGGCUUCUUCAUUAAGCCCCCACUUGCAGAAACUUGCCUUGUUUCACCUUAAGCAAAGCUUCACAAUCACUCCUCCUCGCUUCCCUUGCUCCUAUUAUUCCUACGAAGAUAAUGAGGGGUAUGAAAUUCCUUCUCGGCCAAAGACAAUGAGUUGGAGCAUGAGUACUGAUCACUGCACAUGGGAUGGAGUUAGCUGCGACAACAAGACAGGGGAUGUUAUCGGACUGGAUUUAAGUUGCAGUCAGCUGGAAGGAGCCAUUCUUCCUAACAGCACUCUCUUCCAACUCUCUCAUCUCCGCUUCCUCAAUCUUUCUCAUAACAACUUUUCCCUCUCCAGUCAGUUCCCUCCGGAAUUUGGUUUCUUUGCAAAAGGUCUGACGCAUCUCAACCUCUCUAAUAGUUAUUUAUCAGGGAGAGUUCCCUCUGGAAUCUCUCAUUUGUAUAAACUAGUCUCACUUGAUCUCAGUGACAAUGAUGGGACUAAACUUGAAGAAGAAGUAUUUAAAUCAAUGUUGCAGAAUUUAACGCAUCUCGGAGUGCUUAAUCUUAAUAACGUUAAUAUCUCCUCUAUUUUUCCCGUGAAUAUCUCUACUUCUUUAAGAGUUCUUCAAUUGUUGUAUACUGGUAUACACGGAGUAGUACCCCAAGAGGUUUUCCACCUUCCCAACUUGGAAUUACUUGAUUUAUUAUAUAAUUACGACCUGAGAGCUACAUUACCCAAAGUUAAGUGGGGAAGUAAAGCUACCCUCCAACACCUUCAUCUUUCAGAAAUCAACAUAGAUGGAGGUAUACCUGACUCAAUAGACUUUUUAAAGGACUCAUUAGUCAGUUUGUAUCUGGGCGGCUGUAAUUUGUCUGGGCCUAUACCAAGAUCCAUUGGGCACCUCGUUCAACUUACUCAGUUGGGCCUCCAUGAUAAUAAUCUCAAUGGCCCAAUUUUAACUUUUUUUACCAACCUUACAGACUUAAGAUAUAUCUACCUUGAAGGUAACAAUUUUACGGGUCCGUUUCCCUCUUUUCUUGCCCACUCCAGUAAACUAGUUGUGUUGCAUAUUGAGAGUAAUAGCUUUACUGGAUCCCUACCUCGUUCGUUGUUUCACCAUCCAUCCUUAGAGUACUUGUUUCUGGAACUUAAUGCAUUCACGGGUCCACUACAUGAAUUUGAUUCUUCUCGGUCCCGGCUGCAAUAUUUUUCUUGUUCCAGCAAUUUACUCAAUGGAUCCAUUCCACAUUCAUUUUCUCAACUUGUCAAUCGCACUGACCUAGAUUUUUCUUCAAACAAUUUCACCGGGGUUUUGGAUUUGGAAAUGUUUUCAGGUCUCGAAUUUCUAGAACGUCUUGAUCUUUCUGAUAACAGUCUUUCAGUGACAAGUACAAUCAGUGGCACCCUCCCUCCUACGCUUAUAUACUUGGGCUUGUCUUCUUGCAACAUGAAAGAGUUUCCUCGCUUUUGAACAGAUGCAAACAUCUUCCUGGAUUCUAUAGACCUGUCAAACAAUAAAAUUGACGGGGAAAUUCCACACUGGAUUGGGUCGCUGGGGGUGUCCUAUCUGAAUCUUUCUCACAACAAACUAAUAGGCGGUCUUGAGCAACUGCCUUGGGGUUAUAUUAAUUAUCUUGAUCUCCAAGACAAUAAGCUGAAUGGAUCGUUGCCCACCUUGAUGUGUAAUUCCAGCUCUCUUGAGAUUCUAAAUCUCUCUCACAACAAUUUGAGUGGUGUACUCCCCAUUUGUCAUACAAAUUUGACUCAGCUUUCGGUGUUGGAUCUGCGGAGGAAUAAAAUUCAAGGAAACAUUCCAGCAACCUUGUCAAAUUUCCAUAAUCUGGAAACCAUUAAUAUGAAUGGAAACCAAUUACAAGGAAGCAUUCCUUCUUCAUUUGCUGAAUUUGAUUCUUUAGCCGUUCUUGAUCUUGGAAAUAAUCAGAUAAAUGAUACAUUCCCCCGGUGUUUGGAAGCUCUUCCAAAUCUCCAAGUUCUUGUUCUCAAAUCUAACAAGUUUUGUGGUCUUAUAAACACGAGUUCUAAGAUUGUACACCCAUUUCCUAGCUUGAGAAUCAUUGAUCUGUCGGACAAUGAGUUUUCAGGUCCACUGCCAGCAAAAUACUUCAGAAACUUCAAGGCUAUAAUGAAUAGUGAUGUAAGCAAAAUAGAUCGUAGUUAUAUGAAUCAUAGUUUCUAUUACAGUGAUUCCACGGCUCUGGUGAUUAAAGGAGUAGUCAUAGAGUUGGUAAAGAUAUUAACUAUUUUUACAACCAUGGAUGUGUCAAGGAACCAGUUUGAAGGGGAGAUUGUAGAAUCAAUUGGAAAUCUGGUGUCACUUAGAUAUCUCAAUUUAUCACAUAAUCAUCUCAGAGGCCACAUACCACGGUCGAUUGGAAAAUUGACUGUGCUGGAGUCACUAGACCUCUCAUCCAAUGAACUUGAAGGAGAAAUUCCUCCGCAACUCACUGGUUUAUAUUCACUUGCAGUUCUAAAUCUUUCUUGCAACCAACUUAGAGGCCGUAUACCAGAAGGGUCACAAUUCAAUACGUUUGAAAUCUACAGCUACGCCGGGAACUUUGAAUUGUGUGGAAAACCCUUGUCAAAAAAGUGUGAAAAUUAUGUGAGGGUACACAAAGAAGACGAAGAAGAUGAGGAUGAAUAUUACUUUUUCAGUGGUUUUACAUGGGAAGCGGUGGUGAUUGGAUAUGGGUUUGGAGUGGUGCCUGCAUUUAUCGCCGGGUACUUGAUGUUGCUGGCACGGAAACCAAAAUGGUUUGCUGGAAUCAUUGGCAGGGAAUUGGGCCUCAAGAUCAGGAGGAUGGAGAUUAGAAUGCGAUAACUACAGGUUUGGUGUAAUCUGUAUCCCAUUCCCAGGUCUUGAAAAUUCUGUAAUAAUAUAGUAAUAUCUGCUCUCAUAUAAUUCUAUAUUUGCAGAUUCAGAUGGGACAAGCAGGAUUCAGAUGCAUUGCAUUGGAUUCAGAUGGGACAAGCAGGAUACAAGUUAUGUAGUAUUGUUUUGUUCCAGCUCUUAUCUGAUCUGCAAUCAAGUUAAUGAACCACUACCUCAGUUGUUAAGCAUCUUUCAGCAUUUUAAUUUUACAACUCACAAUAAAAGAUUACAUGUGUAUUAAUCUGAUCAUCAUUGGUUUAGAUCAAUAUAGAAGUUCGGCUUUGUUUAUUUCUAUCCCGGGCUCCUCAUUUUUAGAACAUAUUUGUUGAUACUUUUUAUGGAACGGUUAAGAAUAUUCCAUAGAUUUUUAUAUUCAGUGCUAGAUGAUUUUAUGUCCUGUUUUCAUUCCAAUUUCCGUUCAUGAACUAAUUAAAAAUCUGAAAGUGGGUCAUAUCUGGCAGUGAUGCCCACCUUUCUGGACCUGAAUUUCAUGACCACACAAACUCCAAUUCUGCCCAAAAAUUGCAGCUGUUUCGUAAAAUAUUUUUACGUGCUCUUUUGUUUGGACUUGUUUGCUGGACCAUGCAUAUGUUUUGAUACAAACAUCUUCGUGUAUGUUAACACUCUUGUGUCAGUUUCUGGACUCAUUGUUAGUAGCCCAUUCUUUACGGCAGACAUUGAAUUGGAUUUACUUGAAGAAAUGAAGGUUUAAGAAAGUUGAGAACAAUUUGUUGAUAAUUUCCUUCCCUAGAAACUGCACUCCAGCAUCAAAGUACCUUUCAAAGACUCCAGACAUCAUCUCUUGAUUAUCGAAGACUUGGUCUUGCAUAUACUGAUAUACAGUGAAUAUAGAUUUCUUUCAUUUCCUUGAAAUUGCAUUUUUGGAAGUAGCUCUCCAGACUCAUUCCCGUCACUUCUUAAAGUCUUAUUCCUCCUCAAUACUACAUACACGUAAUAUCACACCACUUUGCUCAUGCUCAGAUGGGUUUUUCUUACAAACCACAUAUGUUCACUUCUCAGAGUCUUAGUCCUCGUCAAUGUAUAGAGAUAAUAUCUCACCAUUUGCUAGUGCUACAAAUGGGCUUCUCCUACAACCACACAUAAUCGGAGAAAAGUCUGUCAAGUGUCAAGUGGACUUGAAAGACCCUUGUGCAUGGAUUAUUGUAUGUCAUGAAUGCCUUCUGAUAUCCCUGAAAGUGCAAGCAAGUUAUAAAAGUAGCUGGGCAGACUCUUUCUCAUCAAUACAUUCACAUUUAAAGCGGGCGUUGAUAUGCCUCCCUAAUUUUCUAAUGCCCUAGACGGAAUUCUAUUACAAUCCACAUAUGAUGGGUAGCGAUCAUCAAUUCAAAGAAGAGACUAUCAGCAGCUUGCAGGAAAUGUCCCCUCUGCAUGGAUUAUCGAAGAAAGGAACUUAUACCUAUAAAGAUGUAGAAAACCAAUGGUAAGCAUAACUGCAUAUAAGAUACAAAACUAAAUUUAAUACAAGACUCGUUCUGAGCAUUGGAAAAUAUAAUUCAUCCUGGUCUUCGUCUUCUACUUCUCCAAAUAUGCUUUUAUUGCAGCCAAUGUAUUAGUGAAAAGAAUUAAAUUUAAAUUAAUUGUAGACCGCAAAUAUAAGAUUAGGAGAGUUUCUACAACCCACAAAUUAGUAGACAGACUAAUAUGGUUAGUUGAGACCAUCAAUCUGGAGAAACUGUUUCUACAAUGACCCAUAUGUAUGAAUUAUUGAAGAAAGAAACUUAUACCUACAAUGUAAAGGAAAUGGUCACGAGUAUAUUGCAUUUUUAAUCCAAAUUGUAUAUGAUUCUCUCUGUGCUACUGAUAGUUAAUAAUAAAUCUACAACGGAACUUGCAGUUAAUCAAGGUAUUUAAGUCUACCUUUCUACAUUGUUGAAUAGUUUGAAUUAAAUAAUUGUAAUAAAUUUUUUGCUGGAUGCUGUGUGAGUUUACCAGAGCUUAUCACGGUGAGAAGUUCACUAAAGCUCUUGGAAUUAGUAAAUAAAAACUCAGGGCAGUGAAUUAGAAGUCUGAGUACAAGGCAAUGAGCAGGAAACAACAUAGGGAGUUUACAACUAGAAGUAUCUAUUCUCCCCCAGUCUUUUUGUGAACAUCAAGAGGCCAUUCAUAUUGCUCACAAACCAGUUAAAAGUGGCAGGACUACACAUAAUGAAUCACACAGUCACUUUAUGUGAGAAAAGAAAAUUGUCAGGACUGCAAUGCAUUUCUAGCCCAUUUUGUACAGCAGCUCAAACGUUUAAAAAACUUCAUUAAUUAUUUUCUUUUAUUGAAACCACACUCAUCCAUCAAAGUAGCUCUCAAAGUCUAAUUUCCAUCACCUUCUGAUUCUCAAAGUCUUCUUCUUCGUCUUAUAUUGCACGCCACAUAUUAGUAGACAUACUACAUCAACUCUGUAGAAAGAAACAAUCUAUAGUAGUUGAUGUACAAUGUUAUUAUGUAAAUGUAUAAUAUCAAAAUUAGGAAUAGAAAUCACGCCCUAAUAAUUAACCCUCUGCAGGGGUUAUUAAAGAAAGCAGCUUAUAACUUUAGUUGCUGAACAUUUGUGUGGGCCAAAUUCAAUUUUACACAUCAUUACUAGAUUUACACAUGGUAUUAGACAUCAGUACUAGUAUAAGAUGUUAAUCAAGUUUUGGAAUUUCUUUUAUUUCAGAAAACAAGUUUUUAACUCUCUUUUUUUUUUGUGGUAUUAAUUAUUUAUAUCACGCAUUUGAGCUUUAAAAUUAGCUCUAAAUAAAAGUUGAUUUUCGCUCAAAGAAACAAUGAUGUAUAAGAAGAUUUUCAGAACUGAAUUAUUUCUUUCCAUUUUUACAGUUCCAUUCAAGAACCGAAAGCAGCUCACAAAGACUCACUACAUCAUCUUUCAAUUCUCAUAGUGUUGGUCUUUGUCUUCUGCUGCUCAAAAAUUCUAUUACAGCCCACAUAUCAGUAUCAUAUACCUAAUUAUAAAUAGUAUUUAACACUUAACACCAUUAAAGAUUUGUCUCAGAGACUUACUUCCAUCACCUUAUGGUUCUCAAACUCUUCGUCUUCUAAUGCUCCAAAAGUUCUAUUAGUGCAGGCCACAUAUUGGUAAACAGACUACAAUUCAUCCAAAAUGACCCUCUUAUUGGACACUUUGAACACCUCUGUCUGUAUAUGCAUUGGAGAAGAAUUAUCAGCUCGUUAAAAUAACCUCUUCGCAUCAACUCUAUGGAAAGAAGCAAUUCAUACCUAAAGUACAAUGUUUGGAUAAAAUUAGGGAUAGCAACCGCACGCUAAUUUUUUAGUUGAAGCAGGCUACCUUAGUGUAAUUAACUGAACAUCCCCGUAAUUUCUUGACAGGCCACAAUUAAGGAAGUUUACAGAAUUACAUUCCAGAAGUAGCUCCCUGAGACAGAUUCGCAUCAUCUUUCAAUCUUCAAAGUUCUUUAUACUUAUAUUAUAUUUCAUGUUUUAUUGUAAUGAACAUAGCAGUUUCCUGUUCAGUAAUAUUCCAGGCUCAGGUUCUUCAUUCCAAGUCUCUGUUACAUGUUUGCUACUAAAACGUAUUAAACAGUUAUUAGUUUAUGACUGUAUUCCAUCUUGAAAGGAGAUCUCAAAGACUCAUUCCCAUAAUCUUCAGAAUCUCAAGUCUUGAUGAACUUGGCCUUCAUCAUAUUUGUACUCUUGUAAUUCCAUAUUAAUCAAGUUUAAAUAUUAAAAUUUUUAAUUUUAGUAAAUUUGUAAAAAUAGUAAAAUUUGUCUUAUUUAUAAUAUUUAUAAAUCUCUUACUUUCCUGUUACUGUAUUCAACUUAAUAAUUUUUACAAACACUGUGCAUCACAUAAGUUAUGUAAAUUUAGAACAAAUUAUGUCCAAUUUAUUUAAGAGAGAUUGUUAUAUUGUUUUUACUUUAAAAUUAAUGGUAUCUUUUAUUUUUAAUAUAAUUUACAGCUAAAAAUAUUUGAUAUAUUUUCACACUGCUUCUUAUUUUUGUAAUAUGACUAAACAUAUCUUAAAUACACUUUUUUCCUAUAUAUAUGCUAGCCUCUCGAGAUGUUGAAUAGAUCAUCCCAAACAAAAAAAUUUAAGGGAAAUAGAAAAUGAGGAAUUCCAUCCUCUGUUUUUCCACCAUCAGUUUGUUGCUCAUCUUCCUGCAGUUGCAGCACAACCUAGUGGCUUCUUCAUUAAGUCCCCACUUGCAGAAACUUGCCUUGUUCCACUUUAACCAAACCUUAACAAUCAGUACUACUAGCUGGGAUUGCGAGUACUAUUCCUACGAUGGAUAUUACGAAAUUCCUUCACGGGCAAAGACAAAGAAUUGGAGCAUGAGUUCCGAUCACUGCACAUGGGAGGGAGUUAGCUGCGACGACAAGACAGGGGACGUUAUCGGACUGGAUUUAAGUUGCAGUCAGCUGGAAGGAGCCAUUCUUUCUAACAGCACCCUCUUCCAGCUCUCUCAACUCCGCUUCCUCAAUCUUUCUCACAACGGCUUUUACAAUCAGUUCCCUCAGGAAUUUGGUUUCUUUGCAAAAGGUUUGACGCAUCUCAAUCUCUCUCGUACUGGAUUAUCAGGGAGAGUUCCCUCUGGAAUCUCUCAUUUGUAUAAACUGGUCUCACUUGAUCUCGGUCGCAACUAUAGGGCUUGGGCUAAACUUGAAGAAGAAGUGUUUAAAUCACUGUUGCAGAAUUUAACUCAUCUUGAAGUGCUUAAUCUUGAAGGGGUUAGCAUCUCCUCUGUUUUGCCCCUGAAUAUCUCUACUUCUUUAAGAUUUCUUGCUCUUGCGGGAACUGAAAUACACGGAGUAGUACCUCAAGAGGUUUUCCACCUUCCCAACUUGGAAUUUCUUCGUUUAUCAUAUAAUGACCACCUGAGAGUAACAUUACCCAAAGUUAAGUGGGGAAGUAGUGCUACUCUCCAACACCUUCAACUUUCAGGCGUCAACAUAGAUGGAGGUAUGCCUGACUCAAUAGGCUUUUUGGAGUCAUUAGUCAGUUUACAUCUGAUCCAGUGUAAUUUGUCUGGGCCGAUACCAAAAUUCAUUGGGCAACUCGUUCAACUUACUCACUUGGGCCUGGCUGCUAAUAAUCUCAGUGGCCCAAUUCUAACUUUUUUAACACGCCUUGCAGACUUCAGAUCUAUCUUCCCUUGAGCAUAACAAUUUUACUGGUCCGUUUCCCUCUUUUCUUGCCCACUCCAGUAAACUAGUUGAGUUGUAUCUUCAUAAUAAUAGCUUUACUGGAUCCCUACCUCGUUCGUUGUUUCACCAUCCAUCCUUAGAGAUCUUGAAUCUGGCAUAUAAUGCAUUCACGGGUCCACUACAUGAAUUUCAUUCUUCUUUGUCACGAUUGCGAUCUUUUUAUUGUUCCAGCAAUUUACUCAAUGGAUCCAUUCCACAUUCAUUUUCUCAACUUGUGAAUCUCACUGAACUAGAUCUUUCAUCAAACAAUUUCACCGGGGUUUUGGAUUUGGAAAUGUUUUCAGGCCUCAAAUCUCUAGGAAUUCUUCAUCUUUCUUAUAAUAGUCUUUCAGUGAGAACUACAACUAUGGCCACUCUCCCUCCUACGCUUAACGACUUGGCCUUGUCAUCUUGCAACAUGAAAGAGUUUCCUCACUUUUCAAGAGAUGCAAACAUCUUCCUCGAUUUUGUAGACCUAUCAAACAACAAAAUUGAAGGGGAAAUUCCACACUGGAUUGGGUCGGUGGGGAGGUACCCUUUCUAUCCAAUCCAUUAUCUGAAUCUUUCUCACAACGGACUAAUAUGCGGUCUUGAGCAACUGCCUUGGAGUCAUGUUGAAUUUCUUGAUCUCCAAUACAAUAAGCUGAAUGGAUCAUUGCCCACCUUGAUGUGUAAUUCCAGCUCUCUCCGGGUUCUAAAUCUCUCUCACAACAAGUUGAGUGGUGUACUCCCCAUUUGCCAUACAAAUUUGACUUCGCUUCGCGUGUUGGAUCUGCGGAGGAAUAAAAUUCAAGGAAACAUUCCAGCAACCUUGUCAAAUUUCCGUAACCUGGAAACUGUUAAUUUGAAUGGAAACCGAUUAGAAGGAAGCAUUCCUUCUUCUUUUGCUGGAUUUGAUUCUUUAGCCGUUCUUGAUCUUGGAAAUAAUCAGAUAAAUGAUACAUUCCCCCAGUGUUUGGAAGCUCUUCCCAAUCUCCAAGUUCUUGUUCUCAAAUCAAACAAGUUUUAUGGUCUUAUAAACACGAGUUCGAAGAUUGUACACCCAUUUCCAAGCUUGAGAAUCAUUGAUCUGUCGAAAAAUGAGUUUUCAGGUCCACUGCCAGCAAAAUACUUCAGAAACUUCAAGGCUAUGAUGGAUAGUGAUGUAAGCAAAAUAGAUCGUAGUUAUAUGAAUUAUGGUUCCUAUUACAGUGAUUCCACGACUCUGGUGAUUAAAGGAGUAGACAUGGAGUUGGUAAAGAUAUUAACUAUUUUUACAACCAUGGAUGUAUCAAGGAACCAUUUUGAAGGGGAGAUUGUAGAAUCAAUCGGAAAUCUAGUGUCACUUAGAGAUCUCAAUUUAUCUUACAAUCAUCUCACAGGCCACAUACCACGCUCGAUUGGAAAAUUGACUGUGUUGGAGUCACUAGACCUCUCAUCCAAUGAACUUGAAGGAGAAAUUCCUUCGCAACUCACUGGUUUAUAUUCACUUGCAGUUCUAAAUCUGUCUUGCAACCAACUCAGCGGUCAUAUUCCACAAGGUUCUCAGUUUAAUACAUUUGAUGCUGAUAGCUAUGGUGGUAACUUCGGGCUGUGUGGAAAUCCAUUGUCCAAAACGUGUGAACAAGAUAUUGUGGAGCAAGAAGACGAAGAAGAUGAGGAUGAAUGUCACUUUUUCUGUGGUUUUACUUGGGAAGCGGUGGUGAUUGGAUAUGGGUGUGGAGUAGUGCCUGCAUUUAUCAGUGGGUACCUGAUGUUGCUGGCACGGAAACCAAAAUGGUUUGCUGGAAUCAUUGGCAGGGAAUUGGGGCUCAAGAUCAGGAGGAUGGAAAUUAGAAUGCGAUACUAAAGGUUUGCUGUAAUCUGUAUCACAUUCCCAGGUCUUGAAUAUUCUGUAAUAAUAUAGUAAUAUCUGC
This 61041-nucleotide long non-coding RNA is filed under the name Daucus carota (carrot). RNAcentral describes it as "long non-coding RNA (DCAR_LNC000860)". The record is from RNAcentral. Lineage: Eukaryota; Viridiplantae; Streptophyta; Magnoliopsida; Apiales; Apiaceae.